This 82348-nucleotide long non-coding RNA is filed under the name Marmota monax (woodchuck). Lineage: Eukaryota; Metazoa; Chordata; Mammalia; Rodentia; Sciuridae. The record is from RNAcentral.
CUCGACAGCUCCCCCAACGGUUCGUAUUGUGCACUCAGGCUUGGCCUGUAACAUUGAGGAGGAGCGAUACUCUGAAAGGGUCUACACUAUCCGGGAAGGAGAAACGUUGGAAUUGACUUGUCUGGUCACAGGACAUCCACGUCCACAGGUGAGUCCCGAACUGUGACAUUGGAGAAAACUGUUUGACCUUUAUUGGAAGUCAAAAAGUAUAUAUUUUAGAAAGUUAGGUACAUCUAUGUGUGGGUGUAUAUGUGUGUGUGUGUGUGUAUGCAUACUUGAGUGUAACUCAAGUGCAAGUUCAUGUGCAAUACAGAAAAGAGUGGUCAUCUCUUAACGUCGAAACAAGUAUUCAUGUGCAUGAAACAAAACAAGAAAUCUUUGUUCUAUAUUGUGAGAAAUUUAGAAGACACAUCUAAGGAAGCUGUUAAAAAGACAACUACAAAAAUAACUCCACACAAUAACAAUUCACAUGGCAAUGAGCUUAUUUUAGAAUGUGGAACAUGAUUUCAUGAUGACAUAAUUGCAGCCAAGGAGGCAUUUGUUCUGAAGAAUGUGAUGCAUGAGGUCACAUGUACCUUCCUUAUUCCUAGUCAUUAUAUUCAUAGAGAACUUAAAAAAAAAUAAAUGUUUGCAGGUGCUAUGUGCAUUCAGGCUUUCAGAGUCAUCAGCUUCGGGCUUCCUAAAACCAAUUUAAUAGCAGGCACAAAAAUUGAGACCUUCAAAGGGUACUAAAAUUACCAGUAAUAUGCAAAGAAAAAACUCGCAGGAGCAAAAGAAAGGGCUAUAUAUGAUGUAAUCUAUUUAGGUUACAUAUUUAUGUAUUAUGAAGAAAUCUAAUUUGAAUAAAGAAUAUUCAGGAUGUUUUACUCAUUAAUUAACAAUUCUUAUCAUUACAGCUGUAACCUGACAAGUUGAACAUUCACAUUGACAAUCAACUAUGGCAAGGGAAAAAUUCUCAAUUAGUAAAGUUAAAAAAACAACAACAUAGCUAUAGGAGGAAAAUGAAGAACAAUGUGGGAAUUUAACAAAUCACCAUUUUAACUUUUCUUUUGCUUCUUGCAUACUCAAAUCUUAAUUUUUAAGGAUCUUUUGAUCCUAUUGUAUUGACUAUGAAAAACAAAUGAAAAAAAGCAUAUUAUUCUUCACAGAAUGAAGCAAUAGAUAGAUACAGAGAUCCACAGACAGACAAAGUCAUGGUUCAAGUGGAAAUGGUAAAAUACAUUUUAUAAAAUUAAUGCUGUUGGUAAACUGGAAAGUGGUAAAUCUAAAAAUUAUUUAAAAAAAUCAAAACUCACAAGAACUAAAAUUAUAAAUGAUAAUAUUUGCUACUAACAGAAAAUGAGUUAAAAAAUGGCAUUCUCUUAAUAAAAUUAGAUUCUACAAAACUUGACCUGAUAUAAUCAAAGUUGGUAGGAAAAAAAGAUUCAGUAAUAAAACACACAAAAGUGAAAAUUAUUAAGAUUGAUACAAAGAAAUUGAUAAGUAAAGCAAUUUUGUUUAAACAUGUAUACAGAAACAAUUGAGUCCAGUGAAAAUAGUUUUAUUAAAAUUAAGAAAAAUUAUAGAAUUAACUUAAAUAUUAGCUCAGAGAAAAUUCAGUAGUCCUAUAAUUUAUCAUUAUUUAAAAUUUGAAGACAUAAAAAUUCUAAAAGAAAAAUUUGGAAUAAAAAUAAGAAGGUCCAAAUUAAAGAAGCCACAAAGAUAACUCCCGUUAUUCCCAAUAUUCUCACACUGGAUUUGCGAAACCUGCUCCUCUAAAUCCCAAAUUUUACUUUUUUUAAAAAAAUUUAAUUUUUAGCUGUAGUUGGACACAGUCUAUUUUAUUUAUUUAUUUUUAUGUGCUGCUGAGGAUUGAACCCAGGGUCUCACACAUGCUAGGCGAGUGCUCUACCGCUGAGCCACAAUCCCAGCCCUAAAAAUUUGAUUUUUUAUCUAACUUUUCACAAGACUUUCUCUCUCUUCAUUUUUAUUCCUUCUUAAUAUCAGAAUUUUCUUAUUUUCCCUAUCCACAUUCACAAUCAGGAGUACUAUCUUUGAUCUCCAGAUGAUCCAAAAUAAGUUCUGGAACAGAAGAGUAGAUCAUUAUUUUUUUUUUCUUAUGCAUUUUCAUUUUUGGAACUAUUUCAAUGUGUUUUGAUCCUAAGAAAGAUAUAAUGCUUCAGUAUCAUUAUUUUUUUUUUCAUUCCUAGAAGUAAUUUGGUGUUUGCAGGUAAAUCCAUUUCAGCUUAUAUUGCCUGUUUGAAAAAUUAACUGGGCCUCUUCUCGGUUAACAAACUGUGUAAAAAAGGAUGACAGCACAGCUGGGGCUUGGCAUCCUGGCCCAAGACUAAAGGGCAUGCUGUUGGCAGCAGGUCCUGAGGAUGAUUUUUCCUGGCUGAUACCAUGAAGCUUUAUGACUUGCUUAUUUUUCUAAUCUGAGUGUGAUAAUACUUGGAAACACUGUACAAGGGAGAAGUUUCACCUUUCCUCAUCACAGUAUUUCUCUCUCUGUAGCCUAUUCCUAUAGCCAUGAGAGUCACAGAGAUUGUCUAGUUCUAGAACUAUUCUAUGGCAACAUUUCUUUGUAGGCUCUUUAGAUUUUUCUUUCAAAAAUAUGUUGUUUGGAUAUGGACAGUACCUGUGGGUUUGAUGUAUCUAAGGGAUAGAAGUGUAAAGUCCGUGUAAUAAAGUGGUUAAGAGCAUGAUGUUGGAAUCAGCCUACCUGCACAUAACCUUGGGUCCCCGACAACCAACAGUGUGUAUGACCUCUCUGUGCCUGUUGUCUUACCUGUAUAAUAGGAAUUCUAACUAUCUCAGAAUAAUUUUGAUGAAAAUUUAUAUUAUAAAUAUAUGUAUAUACAUGGGUAGAGUCUUAUUACAUUUGAGAAAAUAAAUUACAUUUUUGUUAUAAUUUAAAUUUUAAUUAUUUAAUCACUAGUCUGUUUGAUCAUUUUCACAUGUUUAUCAAUCAUUCUUACAUAUUUGUUUAUUGUUUUUUCAUAUUUUCUAUUUUUCCCUAGUGAGCUGAUUGUCUUUGUUUAGACUUUGAGGACUUUUAUAUACCACAUAAAUAAAUUUAAUUGCUGAUAAACAUGUUGCAAGUUUUACUUGACAGGGUGCUGUCUUUUAACAUUGGUUAUGCUAUUUUUGUUCAAGGUUUAGGUUUUACUAGUUGUCUACUAUUUAUUGAAACUUAACCCUAGUAAAUGUUUGCUUUUUGCAUAAUAAAUAGGCAAGGCCAUUUUUCAAUUUUAUAAUACAAUCACAAUGAGUGAUUUGAUUGCUAUAUAAAUAUGAUGUGGACUAGCAAGGCUUUUGUAGUCAUUAAAGUUUUUAUUCUUGUUAAUCCUCUAUACAGAUUCCAAAAUGAUAAUCUUACCAUAAUAAAAAUCUUAGCAAACCCUGAUAGCCAAUUCUUUAUUUUGAAACUAUUGGUUCUACCUGUGUAUUGUUCUUUGCAAGUAUUUUAUAUGCCUUUGUAUAUAUUUCCAUAUUAUUUUUCAGAUUCAGUCUAUUAAAAUUUCUUUAAAAAUUCUAAUAUAUUCAUAUGAAAAAUACACAUACUAGGUUUUGGGUUUAUGGCUAACUAACUCAGAAAGAAUCAGAUUCCACUAUUUAUCAGAAAUUAUCAAAUAAUAUAUGUACUUUUUAUUGUGGAUUAUGGAACUCAAUAUAGCUUACUUUUUUCAUCUGUAAUAUAUAUGUGUGAACUGGAUAUGUCUAUCAGCAUGUGAGAAAAUCUCCAACUAAACUAAAUAUAUUUUAAAAAAUUAAUAUUUAGAUAUAAUAUGGGAAGAGUUUAGGAUAAACAUUCAGAAAUUUAUUGUCUAGUAUUCCACAUCAAUUGCUUACUUUCACAAUCUCCCCUCACUGUGUGUUCACAUGCAAGCAUGCGUGCGCGUGCACACACACACCCACACACACACUCUUUCUUCUGUAGAUGAGACAGAUAUUCACUAAAUUUAUCCUAACAUGGCUAAAUGUAAUCAUCACAGCUUGUUUAGGAGAAAGCACUUAUUGUUUUUUGCUGCUUGAUAUUGUAACUUCAAAUAAUUUUGUUUCCAUUGAUUUUAGUUUAGUAUGAAGUUUUUUUAAAAAAAUCAACACAUUUAUAUACUCAAAAAAUUGUAAUGUGUUUUACUCUCAAUGCAUUAAAAUUAAUCAAGAAUUUAAAAAAUUUAAUUAAAAUACUAACAAAUACAAAGUCAUUUUUGUUUCUCAGGAGAUCUAAGCCUAUUACUCUUUUUCAAGAAUUCAUCCUUUGUUGAAUUCUGUGUAUACCCUUUGUGCCUGAAAGAGACAUCACACAUUCCAGAAAUUUUCUCAAAAAAUAUCAGCACUAUGUACUUAAUAGCAUAGUACAUAUAGAUUAUUUAAUUGAGUGCAUAUAAUGUAAAUGCUUUAUAAAUAAUAAGCAUAUUUCUGAUUAAGUUAUAGACACAAAAUAAUAACUUCUUUUGUAAACUCUGUAAUUCUAAGCUACUACUGUCUUCAGUAUACAAUUAGAGUUAACCAAUAGAGUAGAUGGAGUAUUCCUCCUUAUAAUUUUGAAGUUAGCUGGGACCAUAUGCAAAUAGAUUUAGGCUGACAAAUUGUGGGUCCAGAUUUCAGUGGUGUUUGGCCAGAAGGAUUUAAUAUGAAAGCAUUCUUAUUUGACUUGGGGUUAAUUAUUCAUGAGACUACCUGGAGUCAGUUUUAAUAUGCUGCUUUGAUAUUUUUUGACAUUCAGACAUCAUGAUGAGUUACAUUAAGUAAGGUAGAGAUACAGGAACUGCCUUCAUAAAAUAUGAAAAGUGCUCAGAAAGCUCAGAGAGGUGGGGAUGUUAACAUAAAUUUAUUAUAUAGGAGUUAUUUUUUAGCAAGUUCCCAAAGGAUAUUCACUCUGAGAAAUGCACUGACCAGAUGCACACUGGAAUCUUUUAGAAGCUCAGAGAUUACUGUUGACUACAGAAAAGAUCUGCAACAGGAAAUUCUGCCAUGGAAAUAGGAUCUUUAAAAUCAAGAUUAUAGAAUUCUAAAAUGGCAGAAUGUGGUAGUAGCACUUCACCAACAUUCUCAAUGCAUAUAUAAAUGAGCAAAAAUGUCAAAGUAGUAGCCAAAAUGCUUUUAUCAAUAGGAUUUUAUGGUAAUGGAUAAUAGAUUAUAAUGACUUUCAAAGUGAAGUUUGGGAGUAGCUGGGUAGAAUGAUGAAUGGUACUUGGAUCAUAUAAGCAGAGAAAAAUGAUACCCUGCAGAGGUUGAUGUUUUCCAACACAACAGAAAAUCAUGGCCAUUUAUCAAAUUUCAAAAUCUAAACUAGUUCAUCAGGCCAAUAUUCAUUGGUUAAAGGGGAAUCCAGGUGUAGAGGAAAGGUCUAGCAAUAUCACCAAAAUUUACACAAAAAAUAGUGACUUCUUCCCCAAAAGUUUCUGUGGUCAUUUUUCAUAGCAGUUUACAUGAAAGAAAAAUAUCAAGACUUUUGAAAAUUUUUAAGGUACAGAUUUAGUGCUAGUGUUGAAAUCAAAGGGCUUGUGGUAUUGUGUGAUUAGAACGGGAGUUUAUACAAAGCAGGUUACACAUGGAGUACUAGCCCAAAUAAGGUGUCCCACGGUUAUUUAUCCCAGACUCUCAGUCCUGAUAGGGAUGGACAUACUGAGCAAUUGGCAGGAUCCUUACAUUAGUUUAUUUGACCUUUGGAAUAAUUCAUAAUCUUUCUGGUAGGAAAUACCAAGUAGAAUUCCAUAGAAUUAUACAUCCCAAACAAAUAUAUUAAAUCAUUAGUGAUGCUACAUCAUAGGGAAAUACCAGAUUAUAUGCUACCAUCAAAGACUUGACAGUGAAGAGUUAAUAGUCUUUAUCAUAUACCAUUUUAUAUGUGAGAUACCUAAAAAGUCAAUUGGGUCAUGACAUGUGAUGGUAAACUAUGGUAGACCACUGGACCAAACAGCUGGACCAGAUAUGAUAACUUCACUGAAACCAAGCAGCAUGCCUCUAUUCCUCCCUGGUAUCCUACUAAUAUUUGGAAAAAAUGUGUGCUUUUCAAUUAUAAUCAAGAAAGGAAAUUAAAAUAUUGCUUUUAUGUAGGACAGAUAGUAAUAUAUAUGUGUGAGUCUGUCCUAAUCAAUUUAACUCUCAUUCUCUGUAAUUUUAAAAUGCACAGAGAAUUUUAUUAUCUUGGUAAUUAUUUUAGUUGGGUUUUCAUUAGUGUGACAAAAUACCCAACAAGAACAACUUAGAAAAGGGAAAGUUUAUUUGGGGCUCAUGGUUUCUGAGGUCUCAUUCCAUAGAAGGCCAACUCUAUUGCUUUGGCCACCACAUCAUGGAGGAAAGGUCCAGUGGAGGAAAGCUACUUAGCUCAUGGUGGGGUCAGAAAGCAGGAAAGAAGAGGGGAAGAGGUCAUAGAGAAGAUGCACAGUUCCAGGGAAUGCCCCCACUGACCCACCUUCUCCAAAGUUACCACCUUGUCAGUCCAUUCAAACUAGGAUGGACUGAUUAGGUUACAGUUAUCAUAAUGUAAUUUUUUUACCUGUAUUAGUAGGAACUUCUGGGGGACACCUCACAUCCACACCAUUACAAUAAUAUGCAGAACACUGUACUUGUCUAUGAUAUUUAUAAAAUCAUGGCACGUUUUAACUUGUGAACAGGAAUUAGUAUGUGCUUUGGAUGUCUCAGUAAGAUAUGUGGAUGCCAGAGAGUGAUAGAAGUUGAUGCUCUUCGUAAGCCCUACCACUGUGGAUUAGAUCCAGCAUAAUAUAGGCCUUUUUGGAUUCUAGAGGCUGCCUAUACUACAUUUAAAAUAUUCUUCCAAGGCACUCAGCCAAUUAACUGUAAAGGAUGUCAGUUUCCAGUGUAGCUCAGAGGAAGAGAGGACUUUUCAGCAAGGCCAGGUCUGAGUACCAACUUCCUUGCUGCUCAGGCAAUAUGAUCUAUCAUAUUUGAUGUUGAAUAUGGAUGCUCUAUGGAUUCUUUGUUCAAUCCUAUGAGGAGAAUCACAGCACAGAAGCACAGCACAUUUUUGAAGUGAUACUGAACUUUCUAAGCAGAGCACUAAUUACUGUUUAAAAAACAGCUCUUUAGUAAACAGAGAGUAGGAUCCAGUUGCUAUAUAUUCCUUUUGUUCCAUGAUCAGGUAGUUCUGGGACACAUUCUACAUGACUUCUCAAUGGGUUUCAGUAGAAUGGAGCCCCAUUCACUCUUAGCAAUGACCAACGCUUAUAUUAGUCUUUCUUCCUCCCCUGUGUUCCUGUUCCCAGUCCCCUGCUUUGUUUCUCUGGGAUUAGUUCCCAAAAUAAACUUUCUACUUGCAAUGUCUUGACUUAAUUUCCUUUUCUGAGGCAGGAUAAAAGUGUAUCUGGAUCCAUACUUAAUAAGGAGUGUAGCUAUGUACCUGACCUUAGUGUCUUCCUUACUGCACAUCUUGUCCUCUUUAGCUGUGAUCCUAAAUUAUUGUACUAAUAUUUUUUCCUUUACACUUUGUAAAGGAGAGCCACAAAUUGUUAGCCAAAUUUUGCUUUAAUUUCUUGACUUUUACCUUACAUAAUUAUCAAGAGUAUAUGUCUUAGUCCAUUUGGAUAUUAAAACAAAAUACCAUAAGCUGGGAGGUUUAUAAACAACAUGUGUUUAUUCCUUCCAGUUCUGGAGGCUAACAAGUCCAAGAGCAAGGUGCCUGCAUAUCUGAUAUACUAUGGGUGGUCUCUAAUCUCACAUAGUGGAAGCAGCAAACAAGCCCUCUGGGGUCUCAUUUUAUAACAGCACUAAUCCCAUUCACAAGGACACAACCCUCCUGACCUAAUUAUUCAAAGUUCCCAUCCAUUACACUGUCACCAUGGGGUUUAGGAUUUCAAGGUAUGCUUUUGGGAAGGACAUAAAUAUUCAGAGUCUUGCAAGAUAGUCUAUGGAUUUCCAAUUUUUCCCCUCAGCUCUUAAAAAUAUGUCUUUACUUGAAUUAAAUCUAAGUACUGAAAGGUUACAACUUUGUGCAUAAGGAAUUUUGUGAGAUAGGGAUUUAUGAUAUAAAUUAUGGACUCAGGAUUUGUUUGGGUGUGACAACUUUGCCUCUUACAAUCUUGCAGAAUUGCAUCUUUUUAGAGAUCACAAAAUGGGUGUCAAAAUAGAAAAUCAAAAUAAUUAGAAAUACAAAUUGAAUGGAGUUUUGAAAUUAGAUGCCUCCUUCAAAAUCUAUAAUUUUAGUGAAAUAUAUUGUUGGUAUGAGUAAUAAGAUCAUAACCAUGGUUUUGCCAAAGUAGUUGACAUAAAAUAAAUGACUAAAGAUUAUCUUGGUCUUUGAAGAAGAAGAAAAUACUGCCUAUCAAUAUAUAAUUAAGAUACUCUUGAUUGUACACUUCAUAGCUAUAGAUGAUUAAUUUAUUAAUUCUUUAAUGGAGAUGUUCUGAAGGAUUACAUAGGCAUUGAUUAAUUGUAUUUUGUAUCUUUACUAUUAGAACAAUACUCUAAUAGUAAAAUACUAAAAUACUCUGACAUAAUUAAAAUAUAUUUACUUAACUGGGUAGAUUGCUAAAAGUAGACAUCCAAAAGCAUAAUUUUGUCCUUACAUUUUUAAUCUUUUUUUGCUUAGUAGUUAUUGAGCUGUCAACAAAACCUUAAUAUAUCAAUCCUAACAAAGCCUGAAGUGAAUUUUUUAAUGAUGGAACAUCAAGUUAAUUGGUAAAUUUUUAUGAUUCUGAUGUUAUAUGUAUGUUCUCAGUGUGUGUGUGUAUGUUUGUGAGUGUGUCUGUGUGUGUGUGUGUGUGUGUGUGUGUGAGAGAGAGAGAGAGAGAGACUAUGUGUGAGUCCAGAAAUCAGCAAUUGUAAAUGAUUUUUUAUGGUUAAAUCCAUUUCUAAAAACUAGCAAUAUGAAUAUAGUAGUGGUCUAUUUAAAUCAACUUUAUCAUUUUCACUUGUGGUUUAGUACAUUAAAUGUGUCAAUUAAAACAAUUAUAUUUACUUGAAAUUUCAAAUCCCAUAAUGUAAUGGAACAACCCUUGGAAUGACUUUAAAAUAUAAUGAUGUGAAAUUUAGGUUUAACAGUUUCUUACAAUUAUAGACAAUCCUAUCUGUUCACUUACAUGCUCAAGAAUGUGCUGCCAGUGUAAUUAAUAAUCUAUAACUGUACUGGUUGUAAACAUGACACAUUUAUUUUAAAUUAGUCUUAUCACAGCUUUUCUUGAAAUGUUCAGAGAUGCUUCAAACAAAAUCAAUCAGAAAUAAAAAUCUUUCUAUGAUCUGAAAAAGUUAACUUAUGCUCCAUAAUGGAUAUGCGAGUAUUUUCAGGACUGAAAAAUGAUAAAACAGUUAUUAAGGAUGAUUCUAUCAAUUCAGUUUUAGAAAUUCUUAAUCUUCUGAUCUAAGUGCCAAAAUCUUGACAAAAAACUAAAAAUAACAUUUAUUUACCUGACAGUUUUAUCUUUUUCCAUCAGCAAACAUUGAUUUCUUUCCUUUUCUGCUUCUUAUGGUACAUGAGAAAACGUUAUCCUGUACAACUUGGACCCUUUUUUACUUAACUUGCCUAUGGCAAAAAUCAUUAAAUGAUUUGGAUAGGUUUGAGCAGGGCAAAAUCCUAGUUAAUUAGUGCCUUCUCUGUUGGGUGUCAUAAAAUUCUAUAUUCCUUAACUUGUAGGCAUUCAGUUUUGCAAUACUAUAGCAAAUAAGAGUGAUCUUUUGCAUUGACAACAUGUAGAAGCAGAGCAACUGAUCUUUUUGGAUAACUCUCUGCAGAGUUAUAGCCAGUUGAGCUUACAGAUUAUUUUUGAGUUUUUUGAAAUAGCACAGAAGAAUUUAUUUGUUACUAUGUAAAUAUAAACAUAUUUCAUCAUGUAUAAAAUCUUCAUCAGCCAACAUGCAAUACUAGUCUGUCUUGUUCUUUAAUUAAAAAAUCAUAUAAUUACCUAAAUUACAUCAUUGCAUACACAUUAGUUUUCUAGGACUUCUUUAAGAAAGUGUCUCAAAUGAGAUAGUUUAAAGCAACAGAAAUUUAUUCUCUCACAAUUUGGAUGCUAAAAUCCCCAAAUCAGAGGGUCUGGAGAGCCAUUCUCUCCUCUGAGAUUCUGGGUAGAAGCCUUCCUUGCCUCUUGCUACCUUAGGGUGGUAGCUUCCAGUUCUUGGUGCUCUUUGGCUUCCUGCUGCAUGACCCCAGCCUCCACCUCUAUCUUCACAUAUUCGUUGUCUUCACUUAGUGUUUUCCUUGUGUAAGACACCAGUUGUAUUGGAUUAUGGAUUCACCAUACCCCAGUAUUCUCAUCUUAACUAAUUACAACACUCUUUUUCCAAAUGUCAACCCAAAUAAUAAUCAGAGAUUCUCCCAAGAAUAAUAAUAUUCACUAUGGAACAGGAGACCAUUACAAUGGGAAUAUGUGUGCUAUUGUAAGCUAUGGUUGUAUCCAAAGAUUAUAUAAGGUAAGGAAGAGUUUUUAAAGGUGGCAUGAGAAUUGCAUAAGGUAUUUUGAGGCAAUGAUCCUCUGCUACAAAGAUUUAUAAGAAGGGUGGUGUCAGUCCAAGAUUAAGCAAACAUUUUUUUGCACAGAUGUCAUUGCAGAAAUCUGUUUUGUGAAAGGUUGAAGUGGUCUUUUGCAAGGUCAUGGUUCUGGCAGUCUUCCAUGAAUAGUCCUUGCUAUCAAGCAUGUAUACACAAGAUCCAUUCCCCCGCCUUUAUAGCCUUCUAGCUAGAAUUUCUUCCUUCCUUCAUUUAUUUUUCAUUAGGGCUUGAAAAAAGUGACUCCAUUUUGAUUCUGAGAGCUUUUGGGGAUUAGGAUUUCAAAGUAUUUGGAGGGGAACAUAAUCCAAUCCAUGACUCAUAUCAUUUGUUCUUUUAAAUUAAAUUAUUUCAUAGCCUUUACUCUGGGAUUACCAUUAAAGACUGUUGUACAACCUGGCAACUCUAGUUAAUAAUAAUGACUUGAAAAUUGAUGAAAGAGGAUAUCUUGAACAUGCUCACAACAAAAAAAAGUGUGCAAAGUCAUGGAUAUGUUAACUUGCUUGAUUUAACCAUUUCAAAAUAUACACAUACAUCAAAACAUCACAUUGAAUACAUGAGUAUAUAUGAUUUUAUUAUUUAUUAUUACUUUAAUAAAGGUAAUAAAUGAAAUAUUAUCCAUGUAAUGAUUGUUGUGCCUCAUUAAUCUUGAAAGAAGUGGCAGUACUUUUUCCUACCAAUUUUAUAUUUCUUUGUCCCUUCUAAUUGUUUCCACCUCUUCCUCUUGGAUCAGUGAGUGAAUAAACAGCUUGUCACUGCCUCUAAAAGCCUUGAUUGGUCAGACAGGCUUACUUAAGUGCCCCUUAUUUGUGGUCCCAGAAUAACUGGCCAUUUCCCUACCAUAAUAUAUCACAGUAUGUUGCUUUAGAGAGUAAGUAAGAUUGUGAGCUCUGGAGUCAAACUGCAGAGUUUCAAAUUCCACCUCUUCCAUUUUCUAACCCUGUGAAUUUGGGUAAUUUAUUUAACAUCCCUUUUACUUUUUUCUAUCAUGUACAAAACAAGCCUAGUAAUAGUAAUUAUGGGUCAAAUAAUAUUAUGCAAAAAAAGACAUAUUAAAACAAUAAUGGUUUUAACCAAGUAAUAGAAUAUUCAUAUUUUUAAAAAUGUCUUGCCUCUCUCUGAGAGCUGCAUACACCCAGAAAGCAAGGACUGAAUUUUGCAUUCCCAUUUUCUAUCACAUUAAUGUGCCUGAGAGGGUGACUUGCCUGAGGCUGUCCUUGUUUGUGGUGGUGGUUCUGCUGUACUUGUUAAUACUGUCCUCUCUCUAGGGCAAAAGUGUCCUGCUCUGGAGGAAAAAUAUAUGGGAUCCUAAACAUGAAAGCUUCACAUAUAGAGGGUCUCAAUUGUUUAUUCAGUGAGUGAAUGUGACAGCCAUUAUUACUUUAAGUAAUUGUUCAGUAAUCUGAUUAUGUUGCUUUUAAAAAGUGCUAAAUUUUAUUUGCCUCUGUCCAUGCCAUUUACCUCUCAGCACUGAGCAUUUAAAGACACCUUGGGAUUCACUUGUGUUUCUGAGGCACUGUUGGAAACUGUAUACCUCUAUGCCUGUAGGAAUGCAUUAAAUGUUCCCUUGAUGGCCUAGGAGACUUAAUGCAUCUUCCUAUUUUACUAUUCAGCUAGGACUUAAAGACACUUAGGAAAUAGGAUCCAGAAAUAUGAAUCCAUCAAAGCCCUUCAGUUAGAGAGAAUUCUAACUUUAAACACUCCACAAUACUUUUUUUAAAAAAGAGAGAAUUUUUUUUAAUAUUUAUUUUUUUAGUUUUUGGUGGACACAACAUCUUUAUUUUAUUUUUAUUGGUGCUGAGGAUCAAACCCAGCACCCCGUGCAUGCCAGGCGAGAGUGCUGCCGCUUGAGCCACAUCCCCAGCCCCAAGAUACUUUUGAAAAUAGUAUACUUUCCAGUGUAGACAGAACACUGAAACAUUGGGCUCUCAAGGGACUGUAGCAAGUUCACAUUGUAUCAGACAAAAGCAUGGAGAUGCAUUGCUUAUAGCAAAUUACAAAAUCCUGAUCCUCUGUUUAAACAAUGUUGAGAUAAUGGAAAUCUGGUUUUCAUCAGGAAAGUUAAAAAAAAGUAUAUCAUAGGAAGUAGAAUGGAACUAGACAAAGUAUACAUUAAGACAUAUUUGACUUCAUAUCAACAAGUAGGCAUGGUUCAUUUUGUGAAGACGUGGCCUCCAGAUGCUCAUCUGACACAAAGCCAAAAGCUCAAGCAUAGUUAGUUCCUUCACAAGAGCAGGGUAUGUGGAUGCCUGGGUGAUCUGUAGGUGAUUUGUUCUAUGAAGUAUUAAUUUUUCCUCAUUUGUCUUUCAAUCCCCUGAUGGUGAAUGUUUAUUAACAAAAUUGGUAAAUGUUCCAAUGAUAUCCUCUAAUUUCAAGCUUAUUAGUCUGAUAAUUACUAAGCAUUCUAGCCCAGCUCUAGAGUACUUUGAUCUGCUCAUGGAUUCCAGUGAAAGUUCCACAUAUAUUCUUUUUUUUUUUUUUAGAUAUACACAUAUACUAAGUCUACAACUCCCCUCACAGCCAUUUAGAUUCUCUCCUCUGUCCUUCACCAAGCACAAUAAGUCAUUCACUUGAUUUGUGACUAUGGAAGGUUGGCUGCUUAAUCUAACACCCCAAACAACAACAAACAGUAACAAAAAACCAACAGUGAAAACCAACAUUUUUAUUGAGUUUUGUAAUUUCAUUAUGAAUCUUUAUGUAUGUGAUCAUGGUUCAUGCUUAAAACUCCUUGAAUAAAUUGAUGCAUUUAAUAGUGAACCCUUAUGUCUUGUGAUAAUCAGCACUACACUGGGAAAAGAGAAACCAUUUUGAUUAUUUAAAACUCUGACUUUAAAACAGAUGGAUUUAAUGUAGGUAAGGAGUUUUACUGGGGAUAGAAGCAGUGAAGGAGACAGAGAAAUGCUUGACUCUUCCUUUUAUUUUGUCACUUAAUUAUAUUCAUCUCUCCCAUUGGUUUCAACCAGUGAGAGCCUGAGAAAAGUUACACAGGGCUUUAGCUUCUCCCUAUAACACAGAAGCAAAGAGGAAGGUUUAAAAACAUAAUUUUGUGAGCAAAAUAGGCCACAGUACCCCUCAUAGCCAGUCAACAAGGUACCACCUGGGGAAUGCUGGCUCACUUUUUAGGCAGUUAUGCACAGAGGUACAUUUACCUUAGUAAAUAAGGACAUUUCCAGGUCUAAUUCUAAUUUUUGCAGGCUCAUAAACCUGGUUUUGUUAGUAUAAUGAAAGUAGAUUAGGAUGGGUUGCAUUUUCCUAUCUCAUAAAGGCUAAUAUACAUACAAACAAUCCACAAAAUCAGGUUGGGUAUUUAUAAUGAGAAAUUCAACUGUAGAUAUAGCAGAUUUUUCCACUUGUAAAUCUAUGUAGGCAAGCUACAAAUAAAGCUAAGUUAUAAUCAAAAUGCCAAUAUUUAAACUCAUACUGGCAAAUAGAUUGGACAUUGCUCUGGUCUAACAUGAUCACUCUCCCAGUAGGAAAGCCAACCAAGAACUCAAAUAGAAAUCAGGUUGAUGAGCAAGGACUUUGAACUGAGAUACCUGAAGGCCAUCUCACCAAUUAUGGGAUAGUUAACCAUAAGGUUUGAGUUCAAUAGUAAAGAUUUCCUCUCUUAGACAGUUCCCAAAUGGAUACUAUUUGCCAGUUUGUCCUCUUAGAAACUUGUUUUUAUGUUUCCCAGGCUGACCAAUUCCUAUUUUGAUUGACACACUCUUCCUUUAGCUGUGUUAAUAUUAAUACAGUCCCUCAUAUUAUAGCUAUGUCCCAGAUAUGUUAAUGUUUUAGUUUCAUUAAACUGACUUUGCACGUAUCUAUACUGAGUUGUACUUAAUUAAUAUUAACUUCCCUCUCUGAGAACAUUCUUAUUUACUAUAUUCCUGAAUUCUUUGGGAGGGUUGCAUCUUAUUAUAUUUUAUUAGAAAGAUAAAAUCCUGAUGAAUCUUUGAUUAUAUUUUUUCUACCUCUAUAUUAUCACAAAUUUACAGAUUUGAUUAUUGUCACCAAUCAUAGGCAUAAACCAUGCAACUAUCUGUAGGAUAAUUCUAUUCUGUUGCUACUUUUUUUUCUUCUUCUUUCUUGUGGUGUUGGGGAUUGAACACAGAACCUUAAGUAUUCUAGGCAGGUGCCUUAUCCCUGAACUACACUCCUACCCAUCUUCCUAUUUCUUUUUAAAAUUACUAUAAAAAAGGAAAGCUGGUGGUUAAUUUAAAUUAUUAAUUUGCUGAUGAUUAAUUUUAAAAAUAGCACUGGAGGAAGAUUAGCUUCUUUAGUUUCCAUAUAUAAGUAAGGACAUGUGGGAUAUGCCUGUGACUGGCUUAUUUCACUUAAUAUUCUGCCCUUCUAAUUCCAUCAGUGUUGCCACAAAUGACAAGAUUUCCCUCUAUUUGUAUGGCUGAAUAAUAUUCAAUUGUGUAUGUGUAUAUGUGUGUGUGUGUGUAUAUAUAUAUAUAUAUAUAUAUAUAUAUAUAUAUAUAUAUAUAUAUAUAUUUCAUUAUCCAUCCACUCAUCAAUGAAUACCUUGUUUGAUUCCACAUUUUGACUAUUGAAAAUAGUGCUGCAAUAAACAUGAGAGUGCAGGUAUCUCUUUGAUACAUUGAUUUCAUUUCCUUUGGAUACAUUCCCAGGAGUGAGAAUGCUAAAUCAUGGGUUGUUCUAAUUUUAAUAUGUUGAGGAACCUCCAUACUGCUUUUUAUAAAGGCAAUCCUAACUUACAUUCCCACCCACAGUGUAUAAUAGUUUGAUAGUUGCUAGGAAAAGGAGAAGAAAUAGAGGUUUCUUAAUGGGUACAAAGGAGAAGAAACAGAGGUUUCUUAAUGGGUACAAAAUACAGUAAUAAGAAAUCAGGGCUUGUGUUUUAUAGCAUAGUAGGGUGACUGUAGUUUGCAACAAUUUAUUAUAUAUUUCAAAAUACCUAGAAGAGAGGAGUUUCAAUAUUCUUAACACAAAUACUGAUUAUCCUGAUUUGAUCAUUACACAUUUUAUUGGUGUAUUAAAUCAUCACACUGUGCCCCAUAAAUACAUACAAUUACUAUGUCAACUAAAAAUAAAUUUUAAAAAUUAUUAAAAAUUUAAAAAUAACACAGAAAGAAGGGUUAUUGGGUUUUCUUAAAACACAAAAAACCAAAAGACAAAACUUAAAAGACAAAAAAAAUUACCUGAUAAUGAGGUUUUAGAGUGUGACAAUGACUUAUGCCUAGUAUUAAAAAGAUUUACUUAUGGUAUAACACACAAUUGUUUCCCUCUUUAGAAUUUUAAUUACAUUUUAUGUGGUUGUUUUUUUAAUUUACAUCAAAAGUAAGAAAAGGAUAUUCAUGUAAUGUUUAUUCUUAACUUCAUGCAGAGGCAUGGAAAAUAUGUAUUAACAUCAUGUUCUAGGUGCUGUAUGCAAAACACAUGCAAAAUGUCCAAUCCACCAACAAACUACUAAAAUUUAAAAUUUUACUGCACUGAAUAAAAAAAGAAAAAUUAGAGUCAAGUAAAGCAUCUAUCAGAAUAGUAUGCCUGUACUUAUGCUAUCCCUUUCCAAAUUCUACUCCUUUCCACUGUUUUUGGGAAAUGGAGGACUGAUUUAAAUUAUGUUCACUCCUACUGAUUUUUACACUUAUCCACCAAAUUAUUGCCCCUUUUCAGUAUCUUUUUGUCUUCUACUUUCUUUUUGUCUCCUAAACUCCACAUCCAUUCCCUUCCUCUGUUAUCACACCUAUACAUUUAAAAUGAUUGCUCAAUAUUUACCCAAGAUUAAUAGUCAUUAAACAAAGUAGUGUAAAAAAGACCUCUGAUAUGUGAUUAUUUUAACACAAAAAGGAUUUUUCAGGUGUACAUUUGAAUAUUUAAUUUUUCCUUUCUUUCCAUUCUUAAUAUUCACAUGCAUCUUACCUUAUGUAAAGAUGGCAGCUUGUAUAGGGCAGAAUAUCUGUUUGAAGUUGUGGGCACUCAACUUCCAUCAGUGACUGCUAAAACCAUUAGGUGAAAUAGGUUGAGGGGUUCCAAAGUGGAUGUAUCAAUAGGCAAUACCUAGAGCCUUUGGUAAAUCUUAACUUGGCUAAGAAUGCUACAACCAGAUAUCAGGUGUCUCCUGAUAAGCACUAACACUAGAAUGUAAUCUGUGAAUUGUCUAGGCUCCGUUCCCAAAUAAAUUUAAAAAAUGAAACUAGAUACAAUAAAGCUUCUAGAACUAACUAGCAAUUUCAGGAAACUCUGGUUAAAGAAACAUGUUAAACUCAGCAUGGUGACAUAUGCCCAUAAUCCUAGUGUCUUGGGAGGAUUGCAGUUUUGAAGCCAGCCUCACCAACUUAGUGAGGCCAUAAGCAACUUAGCAAAACCAUUUCUCAAAAAAGGCUGGGGAUGUGGCUCAGUGGUUAAGUGCCAUUAGAUUCAGUCAUGAGGGAAGGAAGGAAGGAUAUGAAAGGAGGGGAGGGGGGGAGAGGAGAGAAGAGAAAAUGAAAAGAAAAGUAAAGAAAUAAAAGAAACACCACAUUAAAUGUCACCAGGAUACAAUCACUUAAAUAAGUAAUAUAGGGAAAUCUAGGACCAUUACCUAAUAGGUAACAUGAGAUGGCAAGGGAAAUGUUAUAGACUAAGAUAUUUAAGGGUCACAUAAUACUUUUGCAAUGGAUAGAUAUUUCCUAAUUUCUGAUUGGAGAGAAGAUUACUUAAAAUGUAUUUUGAGAUAAUUGAGAAAUCUUGAACACAGCCCGGUCAAUUUAUAAUAUCUUAACGAUAUUUUUGUUAAUUUUACCAGGUAUAAAAAGUGGUAUUAUGAUUGUGAACAUUUUGAAAACAGUGUUUACCUGUCGGAGAUACAUAUUGGAGUAUGUGCAGACGAUAUGACAUGUUGUUUGGAGUUUAAGACACUGCAGAAAAACAACAAAAAAAAUAUAUUCUAAUAAGUAAGAGAGAGGGUGGAGAUCUAUGUAGAGCAAAAUAUUAAAUGUUGAAACUGUGUGGUAUGUAUCCAAGGGGUUAAUAAACCAUUCUCUUCUGUGUAGCUUAAAACAUCCAGGAUAAUGUGAUAAACAUUAAAAAUUAAUAUGGAAUAAGCUCUGGAACACAGAUGAGCAGGUCCUUGAGUCUCCAGAGUCCUGCACAAUAGAGCUGGAUAGUUGGAGUUUUAGUCUGGAAAAAAUUUAAGGCAGAUAAAGCUAAAUAUCUAGAAAGUGUUAUUUUAGUCUCAGUAAAACAACUGUAAGAACUUUAAGUUUGAAUAUAGAAUCUCUCUAUUAAUUUCAUCAUGAAUUAUAUAAUAUUUAAUGAACUAUAUUCAAGAAUUAACUUACUUUUUUAUUUUGAUGACUACAUAGAUGAAUGUGUGAAAUCAUCAUUUUAAAAAAUUAAAACUUUAGGUUUAGACUAAUAUUCAGUAGUCAUCGUCUUUCUCUCUCUCUCUCUCUCUCUCUCUCUCUCUAACAAGUAAUUAAAUACCAGUGGGGCUGGAGAUAUACCUCAGUGUUAGGGUGGGGUCUUAGCACGUGGUAGGCCCCAGUGAAAUUAUGUGUGCAUGUGCGCAUGCGCGCACACACACACACAUAAAUAAAUAAGUAAAAAGCAACUCAGUUCUCAGUUUAGCUAUUGUGAAUUGUGCUUCUAUAAAUAUUGAUGUGGCUGUGUUCUUGUAGUAUGGUGUUUUUCUGUCCUUUGAAUAUAGACUGAGGAAUGGGAUAGCUGGGUCAAAUGAUGGUUCCAUUCCCAGUUUUCCAAGGAAUCUCCAUACUGCUUUCCUAUUGGCUGUACCAAUUUGCAGUCCCACAAGCAAUAUAUGAGUGUGCCUUUCUCCCCAUAUCCUCACCAACACUUAUUGUUAUUUGUAUUCUUAAUAGCUGCCAUUCUGACUGGAGUGAGAUGAAAUCUUACAUAGUUUUGAUUUGCAUUUCUCUAAUUGCUAGAGAUAUUGAACAUUUUUUUAUAUAUUUGUUGAUCGACUAUAAAUCAUCUUCUGAGAAGUGUCUGUCCAGUUCCUUGGCCUAUUUAUUGAUUGGGUUAUUUAUUUUUUGGUGUUAAAAUUUUUGAGUUCUUUAUAUAUCCUAGAGAUUAGUGCUCUGUCUGAUGUGUGAGGGGUAAAGAUUUGCUCCUAACAUGUAGGCUUUCUAUUCACCUGUUUCUAUUGCUGAGAAUAAACUUUUUAGUUUGAAUCCAUCCCUUUUAUUGAUUCUUGAUUUUAUUCUUGUGUUAUAGGAGUCUUAUUAAGGAAGUUGUUGCCUAAUCCAACAUGAUGGAGAGUUGGGCCUACUUUUUCUUCUAUUAGGUGCAGGGUCUCUGGUUUAAUUCCUAGGUCCUUGAUCCAUUUUGAGUUUUGUGCAUGGUGAGACAUAGGGGUUUAAUUUCAUUUUGUUGCAUAUAGAUUUCUAGUUUUUCCAGCACCAUUUAUUGAAGAGACUAUCUUUUCUCCAAAGUAUGUUUUUGGUGCCUUUGUCUAAUAUAAGAUAACUGUGGUUAUGUGGUUUUUGUCUCUGUGUACUAUGAUGAGGACACAGCCACAUCGAUGUUUAUAGCAGCACAACUCACAAUAGCAAAACUGUGGAACCAACUUAGAUGCCCUUCAGUUGAUGAAUGGAUAACAAAAAUAUGGCAUAUAUACACAAUGGAAUACUAUUCAGCAUUAAAAGAGAAUAAAAUCAUGGCAUUUUCAGGUAAAUGGAUGGAGUUGGAGAACAUAAUCCUAAGUGAAGUUAUCCAAUCCCCAAAAAACAAUGCCAAAUAUUUUCUCUGAUAUAAGAAUGCUGAUUCAUAAUCAGGUUGGGGGUGGGGAGCAUGGGUGGAUUAGACAAAUUCUAGAUAGAGCAAAGGAGAGGGAGGGGAUGGGAAGGGGAUUGGGGGUAGGAAAGAGGGUGGAAUGAGAUGGACAUCGUUACCCUUCACAUAUAUGAAGACAUGAAUUGUGUGACUCUAAUUUGUGUACCACUAGAGAGAUGAAAAAUUGUGCUCUAUAUGUGUAAUAUGAAUUUUAAUGCAUUCUACUGUCAUACAUAACAAAUUAGAAUAAAAAAUCUAGAUUACAAAAAAUAAACAAACCAAAAUAAAGUGUAACUAAAAAAAAAAAAAAAGCAACCCAGGACCAACUGUCCAGUAAAGCCACAUCCAGGGGGCACUAAACACCAUAUCAUCUGAAUUUUUAUAAAAGAGAAAGUGUGUGUGUGUCUUUGUAUCCUAGACUUAAGUGCUAAAAUUUAAAAAGAAAUAUAAAGUAAUAAGAAAAACAUGUAAUUCUUUUUUUCUUAAAUAAAUAGGAAACCUUUUUGAUGAUGACAUUCUAAUGCCAUAAAGACUAAUGUACUUAAAUACAUUAGUUAAUAACAAUCAAAAGUAAAUCUAGAGAAAAUUAUAAACAAAUGUAAAGCUGAAAAGAAAAUACAACAUUUUUACAACUCAAAUCCAUGGCAAAGAGAACAACAUAAAUUUUAAACUUUAGUAAUUUAGAUAAAUACAUCCAAUAAAUGCAAUACUGUGUGGUAUUUUAGUUGGCUUGUUCUCUGCUGCAACCAAAAGACAUUACAAGAAAAAUUAGAGGAGGAAAAAGUUUAUUUGGCACUUAGAGUUUCAGAGGUCUCAGUCCACAGAUGUCCAACUCAAUUGCUAUUGGCCCCAGGUAAGGCAGAACAUCAUGUAGAAGAGUGUAGCGGAGGGAAGUGGCUCAGAACAUUGUACCAGGGAGCAGAGAAUGCUCCACUUGCCAGGGACAAAGUAUAUAUAACAAAGGCACACCUCCAAUGACCCACCACCCACCUCUCCUUGCCUUCAGUUAUCUCUCAGUUACUCCCUAUCAGGGGAUUAAUUCACUAAUUGGGUAAAAACUCAUAAACCAAUCAUUUCACCUCUAAACCUUUUUGCAUUGUCUCACACACGAGCUUUUGAGGACAUCUCAUAUCUGAACCAUAACAUGUGGUUAUUAAAAGGAAUAAAGCCUUGCUAUAUAUUCUGAUGUCAAACUGUCCUAAAGAUAUAUUGUUAAAUUACAGGGUGGAAUGGCAAAGCUAUUUGAAAAACAGUGCUAACAUUUGUUUGAAAACUUCAUGGAAUAUCCCUGAAAGAACAUACAAAAAGAUAGUAAAUAACAUGUGCUCUUUUAGGCAGAAACACUGGGAGACAGAGGGCAGGGGAGGAAUGAUACUUAUUUCCGUCACAGCCACAGGUUCAAGCACCAUAGAAUAUUUUUCCCAUCAAAAAUAUUCAGAAAUAGGCAGGUGUGGUGGCAUACUCCUGUAAUGCCAAUGGCUAGGGAGACUAAGACAGGAGGAUCAUGAGUUCAAAGCCAGCCUCAGCAAUAGCAAGGUGCUAAGCAACACAGUGAGACCCUGUCUCUAAAUAAAAUUAAAAAAUAGGUCUGGAAAUGUGGCUCAGUGGUCAGGUUCAAUCCUUGGUACAAAAAAAAAAAAAAAUCAGCAAUAGAAAUUGUAUCUGUACUCAACAGAUAUAGGCAAUCUUUUUUCCUUGUUGUUAUUUCCUAAACAAAAGUAAAAACUAUUUUAUAUAACAUGUACAUUAUAUUAAAUGAAGCAUUUAAGUAAUCCAGAAAUUAUUUAAAAUGUAAAAGAAGCUGUGCAUGAAUAAUAUGCAAAUAUUAUGCAAUUUUAUAUAACACAUUUGAGUAUCCAUAAAUACUGUUAUCCAAAGAGGUCUGGAACAAGUUUCUCUCAAAUACAAAGGGAUGAUUGUAUUGAUGGUUCCAUACUUCAAAGUAGAAUAGUAUUCCUAAGGGGAUGGUGAGUACUAAAAAACAUAAAAAGGACCUCAUUCUAAUCUGACUUUCUUCAGUAAGCUUCAGUACCUAUUGUAGAUCUUUACUGAAUCAUAAUUUUGGACCCACUUUGAGAUCUCUCCAGAGAUCCUAUGGGCCUGGAAAAUCUGAAUCUGUGGCUCAAUUUGUCAAAUUGUCAGGGAAGUUGGUCUCCUUGAGCACACAUGGCACCUCCAGGGGGCAGUGUUCCUGAGAGACACAGCCAGCUUCAAAGUCUGUUCUGGUCUCAUUAAAAUACUGUGCAAGAAUAACAAUAUUUUAAUUACCUCUAUUUUACAUAUUAAAUUUGAUCCCUUUUGUGAUAGCUACCUAUCUGAUUUUCCUUUUCAUUCUUUUAGCCAUAUAGACUUUAAACCUCAGAAGUAUUUUUCUCCUUUUUCAAUUCUUUUCUCUUCUCUAUCCCUAGGUGGGCAAAUUUUCCCUUCUGCUGGCUGCUGCCUGGAAUUCCUUUGCCCUUCUUUGGUUUCCCCUUCAUUUAACUCUGGGACAACUUCUGUUCACUUUAUCACACAGCAGCAUCAUUAUAAAGAAAUCACUUACUUGGUGGGGGGUGUCAUAGUUAUCAGAAUUUCCUGGAAACUGGAGGGAGGCAGAGAAUAGGACUGUCAGUAUGCUCAAGGCUAAGUCCUGUUACUAAGACAUUCAAGAGUGGUACAUGAACAAUUUAGCCUUCUUGAGCUUUUAAUUCAUCUUCAUUCAACUCCCACUGUGUUUCUUGAUCUUCUCAUUUUGGUUGGAGAAACAUUUCAUGGUUUUGGCACAUAGAUUCAAGUGACCUAUGUACUUUUCCCCAAAUGAUCCAUUCAACUUCUGUUAAUGAGUAUGAACCCUAUUUUACUUUCCAUGAAUAUUGUGAUUAAGUAACUUUUUUUUUCAGUCCUGUUCUGGUCAAUAUUGUCCAAUCAAAGGCAGAGAAAUUAGGCAAUGUGUAUAUGUAUUUAAUAAUUGUUGGCUUGUUUACCCAACAUGUAUUUAUUUAUGGAGUAUCUACUACUAAAGGGCUAGUCAAAACAAGAUGAUAAAAAUGAUCUGUGAGUGUAGUUAAUUAUUUCUCUCUUGAAAAAUAUAAAUCUGUCCUGUUCUUUGUUUAUCCUAAUUGCAUACAUUUUCAUUAUUUAUCCUCUAGGAGAGUGUCUUAGGUCAGGUACUCUGGUAACUGUUUUGGAGCUGAGGAUUGGCAUGCUAGAGAUUGCUUAUGGAAGAGUUCAUAUGAUACUGAAAAGGGAAGGUGAGAAGGCAGGCAGAGCAGGGAAGAAGUAAAACAGGGUGUGAUCCCAGACUGAGGUCCUUAGAGGAUGACUUCAGCCUGAACCUUGAGGAGAAAUUUGAAGUCUAAGUAGUAAUUCAUAGCCUUCCUGUCCUGUGGGACCUUCUGUCCACUGCACUGUCAAUCAGGGUCAAGCCCUGCUCCUGGAGAAGAGAAUCUAAGGCUGGCAGGGGUACAGUGAGGGUAUUUUAGUCUUGGAGCUUUCUCUGACCUUACACCCCACACAUAGCAACUUAGACCCACUAAAUAAAUAUUUGUUGGAUAAAUGAAUGGAGAUUAGACUGGGGAACUAAUAACAAAGAGGCUUAGGUCCUGGUCAUAAGAAGACGUUGGAGGGUGUGAUCAAACCUAUGAGCAAUAGCAACUAUUUUCUGUUGGAGUUCAGAGAAUGAAAAAAAAAAUGAGUAUUUUAGACCAAGCUGAACAGACACAUUGGCCACAUGCAAUUUCUCUUUUUACUAUUUUUUUAAAGAAAAAAUAUAAAAUUCAAAAAAGUACUUAAAUUUGAGAAAAAAAAAAUAGAAUUUCAUCAUGAGCUACUGUCCCUUUUUACUUAGAAUAAUAAAAAUAUUGAAUUUUUAUAUAGGUUGUUUAUUCUAUUAACCAACAUACAUCCAUCAACGUUUGUUAACUUAUUUAAUAUAUGAAUAUAUUAAUUCACUACUGUCUGGUGUCUAUUAUUAUGGAUUUUAGACUUAUAUAUAAGGUAAUUAUGUGAUUAUUUCCCUUCUUGAUAGAUUAUCUAGAGAGAUCACAGGCCAACAGAUAUGUGAUUUUUUUACCACAUAUUUUAGUCCUCUGUUCUUAAAAAUAUCAAAGUAUAGCAGGAAAAAAUAUUAGACAUACAGUCAAUAUGUACCUGUGCCGCAGUCUGGCUGGGCAUAAAUCACGAGCCACUCAAGCAGGAACAAACUUUAUUUCUGAACUCCACCAACACACUCCACACAAGCUCCUGGGAACUCCCCCAAACGCCACCCAUGCCGCUCCUCCAGGCACUACCAACCGGAAAUCCCUCCUCCGGCACUUCCCCAACCAGUGCGAACUCUCCAGGAGUCCUGAGAGAACUCCGAAGUAGCAGGAGAACUCCAAAGUAGCGGGCUGAGGCGAACAAUAAAGGUCUAAUAUACAAUUGAAUCAAUCCAGCAUCAUCUUAAUGGCUCGCCUCUCAACCAAUACUAUUGGCAAAAUGCCAGGGGCCAUUCCCACUCGGCUGUGGCUCUCAGCAUACCUGAUUGGUGUUUUUGAUCUGUUACCAAAUGGUGAUAAAGUUGUGAUUGAUUUAUGUAUCACAUCUAUGACUUAGUUUCCUUAUCCAUCUAAGUAGUCAUUUUAUCUCAUUAAGAUUACUACUCAUAAUUAAGAAACAUGGAGUAUGAAGUAUUUUAAUGUAUAAUGGAGUAUAAUGUAUUUUAAUACAGAAUACAAUAGUCAGUGCUUGAUUAUUUUUAACUGAGAGUAAUGUUUGGAGGACACUUCUGAGAGACUCAUCUGGCUCUCUCAAACCAAACCACAUUAGAGACACUACUUGUAUGUCUACAGCUGCCUUGACUGUGGCACUCACCAGCUACCUUACUGUUAGUUCUGCUCACUUAACCCAACAAAGCCACAGUUGGGGAGAUUAUCUAGUCAAAUCUAAUUUUUCAUAUGGGAAAAUGAUGUAGUGAGUGUAAUCAGUGUGUCAGAGGACACACAGUUGGAGCAGAGACAAAUAGGAACUGUGUGUUAACUCUUAGGUUUUGGCUUUUAUCCUACACAGGCUGCUCUUAUGAAGAAGUGGACUAUUUCUAUGCUGUAGGAUAAGAUGGUCAGGCCCUUGUCUGCCUCAAUUCAAUGUAUUAAACUUUAACAAAAUUAAACAAGACAUUCUAGGUUUAAAAAUGAUGUUGGAAAUGAAGAUUCCCCUAAUACAAAAGGCAUUCCUAUGAAGGCUAUAGUUUGCAAUACUAUUGAAUUUUUUUUCUUUUCUGCCAUUUUCCUAAAAUUAUAUUAUUAGAAAAAGCACUUAUGGUAUACUUGACACUUGCUUAGGUCUAGAUUAAAAUUCUGCAUAAUAAUUAUAACACAUUUUCUUCAGCAUUUCCAAAUUAGAAGGCACAAACAUUUUGAUUAUAUAAAGGAAUAUUGAUAUUGUUAAAUGUUUACACUACCAAUACCUUCAUUCAACAUGUACACUCCUUCAGCUGAGCUUAACCUACAGCUAGUGAUAGCAUAGUAUUCACAAUAUCGAUCUGGAAACAUUACAAAACUGAUGGUAUGCUAAAAUUGCUGGAUAUGGUUCUGUGUGAGACUACCCCUUCUGAAAAAGGAGGAGAGGAAUUCGUAUUAAAUUCAUAUUAAAUUAAAUAUUAAAAUAACGUGAUUUCCAAAUGGACAAAGGAUCCAAACAGAUAUUUCUCUAGAGAAGAUAUACAAAUGGGCAACAAGCACGGGGAAUAUAUACUCAACAUGUUUAGUAAUUAGGAAUUUACUAAAUGCAAAUCAAAACUAAAAUGAGAUACUGCUCCAAAGCUAUUAUAAGGCUAAAAGCAAAAAGAGAGGCAAUAACAAUUGUUGGUGAAGAUAAGGAGAAAAUGGAGCGUCAGACAUAUGCAAGUGGGAAUACAAAACGGUACACUUACCUUGGGAAAUAGUUUGAUAGUUCCUCAAAAUCCAAAACUAGAAUUUCCAUAUGACUCAGUUAUUUCACUCUGUAGUAUACAUUAAAAAAAAAUGAAAAUAUACUUUCACACAAAAACUGAUACACACAAAUGCUUAUGCAACAAUGCUCAUGAUCAUCCAAAUGUGGAUGGGCCACAUAUCCAUCAACUUAAAAUGGAUAAAUAAAAUGUAGCAUAUACAUACAAUGGAAUAUUAUUCAGCAAUAAAAAAUAAAUGAAAUAACAAUACAUACUACAGUAAGGAUGAACCUUGACACAUUAUUGUAAGUGAAGAAACCAAUCAUAAAGACCACAUUUUUUUGUAAUUUGACUUAUAUUCAGUGUCUAGAAUAGACAAAUCCACACAGACAGAAAGUAGACUGGUCAGGACUGGUGCAUGGGGACAGGGACAAUAAGGGGAUAAGAUAAGUAACAACUAAUGGUCAAAAGGUUUCUUUUAGAGGAAUCCAAAAUGUCCUAAAAUUUGGUUUCAGUGACAGUUGUUCAUCAAUCAUGUGAAUAUAUUAAACAUUGAAUUUUAAACUCUAAAUCUGUGAAUUGUAUCUCAGUGAAGUUGUUUUAAAAACUAAAACCCACACAUAUGUGUGAUCUCUGUAAAAAUUUCCCUAAUUCCUCAGUUUGAGCUAAUUACCCAUUCUUCUCUUUGCUAGUAUAUAUAGUUAUGUUAACAUUAAAAUUCUUCAUUGUAUGUCUUUACCACUAAACUAUAAUUUCUCAAGGUCAGAGACUAAUUAUGAAUUAUUUAUAUUUUUGUAAGUCUAGUAUUCCUUGUGUUUAGGAAGCAUGUACCUUCACGUAACCUUCUAUGAUUAUCUAAAAAUUUAAUACUACGAAAAGCACUUAUGGGAAGGAAAACUUCCUCCCUAAAUAUAAAAUGCUAUGAUAAAUAUGUUUUUUUAAACUAUAAAAUGCUAUGUAAAAUAUAUAUUUUUUUCAACGAAGGACAGGUUUUGCCCUGAACAUGUAGCUCACAAAGGUAAGUUCCAACAGCAGACAAUCCAGAAAGUGACAAAAUGUACUGGCUCUUUAAUAUGAGUUGAUAAAGGACAAUUGGAUCAGGCUCAUUUUACUUCUCUUCUCAUUAUAUAGAUCUUGUAAAUAAGAGAAUCUCCAUGAUUAUCAUAUUCUCUAUUGAAGCACAAUUAAUUGGCAGUCUUUUCCUUGCCUCAUGUUCUUGAGUGAAAGAGUUACAAUGAACCCUCAAAUCCUAUGAUGGAAAUAUUCUAUAGAUUUAUUAAAAUAUUUUGUUGCCCUCUUAGCUCCAUUAUUAAUACUCAAAUGUAAUUUGACACGAGUUUGAAGUUUUAAGCUUUAAGUCACAAUUAUAAAUUGGUUUUAUAUUUAAAAUUAUGCUUAAGGAAAUUGAAAAGUCCCAUUCCUUUGUGAUUUGGAAGAUAUUUUUAAAAUCAAACUCUUUCUCAGGCAAAAUUUUAUUGAAAUCCCAAUAUAUAAAUCAUAUAAAACAGAAUUUCUCUCCUCAUUAGGAAUUAAGAAAAGGGGUCAAAACACCCAAAUUCUAGCUACCUUAGUCCCUGGAGGCAUCUCCAAAGAUUGCUUAAAGCUCCUUAGGGUGAAAGUCAUUGUUUUAGUUGAGUAGAAAGUAGGUCUACACAGUCCCUUGUACCUGAAGAAUUAUUUUUCAUAGUAACCAAUUACUUUGAGCUAAUCUAAUCUAAUGCCAUUAGCUACCUGAUUAGCAAAUAGUAACAACUCAGCCUCUAUCUCUGUCUCUCUCUUUCUCUCACAAACACCACACACUCACUCACACACACACACACACACACACACACACACACACAGUGUUUUAUAGAAUAUUUUAAUAGAAAGUCCUAAUAGUUUAACUCAGCGGUCACACAACAACGUGAUGAAAACAGCUAUUGAAUGAACUAUGUGCAAUUUACAAUCAGUGCCAAGUUUUGCAAAGAGUUCACUUGGAAAAAAAAAAGGAAAAAUUUGAGGCCAUUUCCAUAGUAAAAUUUUUCAGUUCUCUUUGUUUGAUUUCAUUAAAAGUACACACUGGAGUAAUAGAGAAAGGAGUGGAAUAACAGGUAGCAUGAUGAUUGCUUGUAAUGCUGGGCUUGCCCUUGAGAGGCAAACAGGGUGAGGUGAACCCAUUCUGGAAGGGAGGAGAACCUUCCCUUACCUUUCUCCUUUGAGGACUCAUCUUCCCUCCAUUUUCUUCUUGCUCCCAUCUCAAUCUCCAUUUCUGUCCUUUGUUGUGGAGUCACAUACUUGGGUACCUUAUUGUCCCUGUCCCCAUGCCACUAGUCCUGACUUACCCUGUGACCUGAAUCUUUCACUUCAGCCUCCUCAGUCAUGCCAGGAAGGUCUUCUGAUGCCUCCCUCCAUAGUUUGUGUGACCACUAAAUGUGAAGGUCCUUGGGAAGCUCUGAGCUGCGGACAUCUUAGGCAGGGCUCAAUGAAUAUUAACAGUUGAACUUUUAAUUAGUUGUCUCCUUUUCCUCUCUUCCCUUUAUUUCUUAAGUUUCAUCUUAAUAUUUAAUGUGUUAUAUUUUUUACUGAAGUAAGAAAUAUUGAGCCAAUUUUGAGGAUUUUCAAGGUUUUUGCUUGAGUGUACUUUAAAUGAAAUAAGAGCUUAUGAAGGAAAAACAAAAAAGCAUGGCUACUCAUGAAUAUCUAAAGUAUAAAACUGGGGUCCAUAAAACAGCAAACUGCAAAUAUUUAAAUUAAUAAAGACUUCCCAAAUCCUGCAAUUUAGCAAGGAUGAUGUCCUUGAUUAAAAUAGUUUUUAUAGGAGUCGAUCACUUAUUAUUGAGAAAUAAAAUUAUUUUAUCAAUCUAAGGCAAAAUAAGAAACUAAUAUUUGACUUUUGGGGGAUCAUUUAUACACAUUUUGUUUUGGUUUGGGGGUCUCACUGAGUUGCCUAGGCUGGCAUCAAACUCAUAAUCCUCUUACCUCAGCCUCUAGAGUAGCUGGGAUUACAUAUAUAUGCUGCCACACCUGAUUUUAAAAAGCAAAAUUUUAUUAAAAUUUAAAGUUAUUUAUAGUUUUUAAAAGUUGUUCCAGUUUAUUUUUUUUUAACAUUUUUGAAGUUGCCAUACUUUAAGGGAAACAAUAAUCCUUCCCUUAAGAGAUUUAUUCAAGAUUAGCAAUCUGUAGCCAGCCCCAGAAAUGGGUUGGGAAUUCUGACCUUCAUCAUCCUUGUUAUUAUUUUAUGACUCUUUCCAGGGCAGCAUUCCCAGGACCUGUUCAAAUCAUAGUCGUUGUAUUUUUCCAGGUUCUAAUUGUACUCAUUUCUCAUCCUCUGCUGCUGAGCGGCCUUUGGUACAAGGGCCUGGAACCUGAUUUAGGCUUGAAAAACUUCAUCUGUAUCUGAAUCUUUUUUGAAAAACACAAACUUUGAAAUAGUCAACUAAUGGGCACACAACUUCCUUCCUGUACUUUGUAGGUAUUUUCUUUUCAAAAUUAAUGAUGGGGGCAACAGGGUAGAUUCACAUUUGUGACUUUUCAAUUCAGUGUGUUUAAAAGAUUAAAAAAUAAAAGGAAGGAAGGAAUUGAGAGGUGAAGCUAUUGCUAGUUUUAGAGCAGUGUGUAUUCAAAGGGAGGGACAGCAAAGCCUUUCUGGCAAGAGACCCUUAAGGGUAGAGAUGCCAAGAUUGAGAAAUAUCCGAAGAUCCCUCCCUCUUGGUGAGGUUCUGAAACCUUGCACUCAACACAGCAUAUGACUUUCCGACUAAAGUUAGGGCUCCUACACAGGAAAAAUGCAGCCAAAUAAGACAUCAGAGUCUUAUUUGUCUCCCUUUUAUACGGAGACAGCUUCUAGGGACAGCUUUAAUUCUGCCAAGUUCUGAUUUUAUCUACAAGAUUACUGCAAAGGAAAUCCUGUGAGCAAAUAAAUUUCCAUGAUUUUGAAAAUCAAAUCAAGAAAUUUAUCUUCCUCAAGUCUUUCUGUUAUUUUGGACGUAUAUUUACACACAUACACACUCACACUCACCUACAACAUGCACACACUUUUAAGUUCACUGUGUCCCAAGCAUAAUUUAAAAACUGUUUGCAGUUUUCUUUAAAUGAUGAUCAUACCUCUGAAAAUUAUUUAAGUAGUUUGUUGGUUUUUUUUUAAUGUCCAUAUUUUGUCCUGAAAACACCAUGAAAGAACUUCAUGAUAUCUCACUUCUCAUUCCAGGGCACCUUAUCAGUUGAACCAUAUACAAACCAAAAACAGAUGUAAAAUGGUACUAUCAUUCCUUUUCCCUGUUAACAUCAAUCUAUAGAUUUUGAAUACAUUUGACAUUUUUUACUUUAUAUUUUAUGGAUCUGUUGAGACAGCAACCCAAACUCCUUUUUCUCUGACUUUCCAAAUGGAAUAUGCCCCUCUGACUAACAUGAAUAUACAUGCUUCCCUUCUCAAUCAUGCCACUUAAUAUGACUGGCAUUCUAUACUUUAUGGAAUCACUUUGUGUUUUAGGCAAAGUCAGGUAAAAAUCAGGAUUGCAUAUACAUGCAAAAGAAAAAUUCUGGUACUCUGGAAAAUGAGUAGAAAAAAAUUGCAUUACUUUGUUUUUUUAAGAGCACAAACAACUUCACUAUAGUGUUUAAGUGUCUAGCAUUGCUUAAUGGAAAAAUCCACGGUACAGUUCAAACUAAAUGAAAUAAUGAUGUAAGUUAUGGUGCUCCUUCAAACAGCAUCUUAAGUAGAUACUUAUGCUCUUUUCAGUUCAACCCCACAGCAGCCAGGCAGCCUCAGAGCUUGUUAUGGACUUUCAUAUUCCUUUAAUGGAAAUGGCCCCUUGCUGUGCUUUCACUUUUCCAACUGUGGCAAUAAUAGUUAGUAAUCAAGCCAUUCACAAUUUUUUAAAAAAUUAAAGAUCUUGACUAGGAGUGGGACAAUGAAAAGCACUAACCACAGAGGAAAAAAAGAUUUUGACAAGCAGUAGGACAAUGAAAAACACUAACCACAGACAGUGAAAAGCACUAACCACAAUGAAAAGCAUUAACCACAGAGGAAUGGCUGGAGCUUCAUUAGAAGGUAAAACAGAGAUUGAGAGUGCAUUGCCUAUGAAAACUUUUUUUAAAGGUACCCUUUUUAGACCAUGUCACAGAGGACAAUUUUACUGUGUUCCAAAGAAUGUGUUUUAAAAAAUAAAUGCAAAACUGCAGUUGGCCCAAUACUUUUUAGCCUACGUGAAAUAAAGAAUUAUGCAUUCUAAUAGUUUUGCUUACUUAAUCACUUUUUGCUUACUACUUUGUAAUGAUAUCUUCUAAAAUGACAUGUUCAUUCGCCAAAGACUUGGCACCAUAAAAACUGAUGAAAUUUUCAGUGAUGUUGAGUGAGUAUAUUAUAGAUCCCAGAAGUACAAAUACAGGAGAGGUUUCAGAAAUAGCACCUCUCUACUCCUCAAAAUUACUGCAGUUAUUAAAUUAUUCUAUGAAAACACCUUGGCUGAAAGAGCCUGCUUUUUGAUUUCCUUCAUGGUUUCAGGAAAUGCUAAUAGAGGUAAAUUUUGAGGAAUAAAAAGUGAUUUGAAUAUGAUCACUUUAGUUAAACCUAUUACAACAGGGCACAUGACUUUGAAAGCUCAUGGCCCUCUACCCAGGCAGGCUGGUGUGGUCACAAGCUGGUACUAAUUGGGGUGUUUGAUCAGGGUUGAAUUGUUAUUUUUCUUCUUGAAAGAGAAAAGGAGAUAUCAUGACAAUGACAAAUGGUAAAAAUCAGGAUGAGGGGAAGAGUUAGUUUUGUCAUCUUAUUAUAAAAAUGGCUGACAGUGUUGGCUUUUAAAUGAAUAUUUACUAAGGCCUAUCACCUUUAGAUAAUUGCAAGGCAAACUUGAUGUUUUUAUUAUUCAGAUGUGAUCACUGCAAUGAAAUGACAUCUGACAGUUGGACUAAGAAAGUCUAAUACUGUAAAGGUGUUAGUGCUCUCUAGAUUGUAUGAAAGUACAACAGUCAGAAUCACAAAAUAAAGAUCAUCAUCAGUUAUCCUACCCUCUAGUGUUCAAUGAUCACCUCCCUGAAACACAGUAGUAUGUUGAAAUCUUUCUAAUUCAAAUAAUGACCUUUCCGCCAAAAGUGAAUAUAUAUCUAUGUGUGUAUAUCACAUUUUUUUCUAAGAGGAGCUUGAAAAAUAUUAAUCUCUACUAUAUCUUGCAUACUUUUCUUCAGUGAUUAUUUCAAUGAGACCACAAAACAAAACAACAACAACAAAACUCAUGAAAUUUGAAACAACAUGCUUACAUAAGUCAACAUUCUUGAGAUUGUUAUGAUGUGGAAACGUUAAGGAGAAGUUUCAUAUUUAUUGGGCCAGCUAUGUAGUGCCAGGUGUCUGUGCUUGAACUUCUAGAACUUAAAGCAAUAGCAUCAGACAAGCAGGAACACACCAGGAUGGUGCAAUCAGGGACAUUAAUGUGGAAGGAAUGAUCCUGGUGAAUUUGCCUUGUCAGGAUCUGCCCCCAGAGCCUGGGAAGUGAUAGAACUCAAACUUUUGAAUAAACUUGGGAGGCCAACUUGUGCUGACAAAAUCUAUCAGGAUUUUGUAAGUUUACAAAUAGAAUUAUUAUUUACUAAUUCAUGAUGAGAAAUGUGAUUGUCAAGGAAGGUAUCUUUUUUUUCUAGAAAGCUAUAAGGAAAGUUAAAUUUGAAUAAAGAGAAGUACCUAUAUGAUUCAAUAUAUAAUGGCUUUAGGCUUUCAAAGUCUUUUCUGUUCAUAUCCAUGAGACUGAAGUCUAAGAGACCAAGACCUGUCAGGCCAAAUAUUGGGACAUUUGUGGAUUCUCUCUUUUUUGAUCUGUGUUUGAAAGGGGACUGCAGCCUGUGUCCUUUGGCUCCACAUGGCUCAAAAAUUUCCCUGUUGAUCUUCUUUCCUUUAGAUUCAGAACCUAGGUAGUAUUGUGGAAAUAAAUCAUAGGGCAAGGGAUUAAAAAUACUAGAAUUUGCAUUUGAGCUUAUUUCUACCAUUUUUUCUCUUUUAGGUAUUUUAUAAUGUACAUAAUACUUAAUGAUAUCAAGUAGAACAUGGUGCAGAUUAAGUUUCAGUCCCUGAUGUAAGGACUUUACACAAUUUGGUGCUUAGCCUGUGACAAACUGCAAACGAAACCAAAGUUAGUAAUGUUAGUUGUGCAGAGUGGAAGAACUAAGACCCAAAUCUAGGUUGUCUGGCUCCAGAUUCCAUGCUUCUAACUCUUGUAUGCUUCCUGGGUCCCAAGGCAUAAGUGUAAUUUACAGAUGAAGUGUACUAAGUGUAAUUUACAGAUGAAUGACUAACAUACAUUAGUGAACAAUAUUUAUUGAUAUGACCAUACAGGUGGAUCCAUUUGUCAGCCUUGGACUGUUCUUUCAGAUUUGAGAUUCUUUUGCACAUCUUCAGUUUUCCGUGCUCUGAUCUGUUUUUUGUGUACUGUUGUAUAGUUGAAAUGCCCCUAAUUAAAGCUCCCUUUGUAUACCCAUGCUGUGUGUGUCACAUUCUGGAAGUUUGUUACAUCACCUUUAAUAAUCUUAAAACGACUCAAGCAAUAUUUAGUGUCAACAGAAGUCGUGUUUCUUACCUCAAAACUAAUUCAGAGUCCAAUGAAUUCUAUACUCCCCUUGUUUAAUGUGCAAAGAAAGAUUCUCUGUAAGUGUAUGCAGAAUAGUACAGCCCUUCUUACAUUGCUGCUUUAGUUUAUUCUCAUUAAUCUCCAUCAUGCAGGUGGGCUCAUAAGACAAGGAGGCCUCAUUUAAAGAGAGGUUAGUUUCUUUCUUCUGAAUGUGGUGAGCACCCAGAUGUUUAAACAUACACAACAGACUGAGAGUAAUUCAGAAAACAGCAUCAAGUGUGAGGAGGAAAAAACUCUUGAAGUGAGAUUUCUUCCUAAAGGUAUUUUUGCUGCUGCUCUUAGCAUCUUGAUAAUAAAAAUAAUUGGGCUAUUUUAGUUCUAGUCUUCAUACUUGUGUAAUGUAGCACUAUGACUUAGGCCAUCUGUUUUAACAUCUUAUGAUAUAUCAUUCUUUGCUGUUUUUAGAUAAAUGAAUGUUUCAAACAGCAGUCCAUGGAACUUAAUUCUUAUUUCCUUAUUGUAUCACUUUCUUUUUUUCAUAUUGAAGUCUUCUGGAUAUUCCAGAUGUAAUUUUACAUUCUAUUCUUAACCAUGUGUUGGAGAUGGAAAGGGGAUAGUUGGUGAGAUAGAAAUUAUGUAGUUGUAAAAGAUUUUUAGCUAAAUAUCAAUUUCUCCAUUUCCAUUUGACUUUCUAUUUUGUUUUGGAUCCAAAGUUCAGAAUUUAAAAAAGCUUAAAGAUCAUUAUAUUGGGGAGGCAUAAUAAGGCUUGUUUUAAAUAAGAUUUUUUAUAAUAUGCUGAUUGAUUUGUCCUUUUAGCUAUGUUUUUCCAAGCACUCUGAACCCUCUUAAAUCUUUGCAGCUUUCAUUGACAUUGCUAUGUGAUAUGACAUUGAAGUAAUUUUCUUUUGCUCAACUUUUAUGCCAUUCUUGUCCAUGUUAUUAGCUCUGUGGGCUAGAAUGCUGACAACUUUAAAUAGCCCAAUGGUUGUCAUAGUAACUAAUAUUAACACUAUAUAUAAACUAUCCUUGGAUUUCACAUUUAAAUUAUUACUGGUAUUCUUUAGUAACUCUCUGGACUGAACAGAGGACUUUGUGCAUGAUGGGCCUUGAAGAUUUAGGUUUGGUUGGGAAAUUGAUUCAUUGGCAUCUAAUUCCAGUCACAGUUUUUGAUUUGUUAAGACCUAGUCCAGUUCCAUUGAAUGUAUGUUCAUAGAACCCAAGAAGGAUGCUUGUCUAAAUAUCAUGGGGGCUGAAAAAACAAAGUUUUACUUUUAAAGGUUAUAUUUAUUCACUGUGGGUAUUUUCCAUGAUGUUUAUUUUUCUCCUUUUCUCUGCAAUGUUUUCUAUAAUGUUUCUAAAAUUGUUAAAAUUAUACCCUGAGUGCUGAGAAUAGAAAAGACACAUUAUACGAAGCUUUUAAGAGAGAUGACACUAGACACAGACUGUAAACCACUCUGUUUUGGGUGACUUUUGUUCCUCUAGCCAGGGGCUUAGUAAAGAUUCUACCUCCUGCUUAGUGCCUGGCUACCCUCUUUUACUUCUCUUGUAUGACUCUUUUUUUCCCAAAAAAAUACAUUCACUGCAUUAAGCAUACAGAAUUUGUUUCUUAGAAUGAGAAAUGGGUAUAUAUAAUAAAAGAAAAAAAGAAUCUGGGUGUGGUGGCACAUUCCUGUAAUUCCAGCAACUUGAGGCUAAGAGAGGACAAUUGCAAUUUUGAGGCCAACCUCAGCAACUUAACAAGAUCCUGUCUAAAAGGAAAAAUUAAAAAUGCUAGGGAUGUGCCUCAGUGGUAGAUGCCUCUGUUUCAAUCCCCAGUACUGGAAAAAUAAAAGAAAAUAAAAUUUAAAUUCUCCCUCAUCUCACAUAUAAAAGCCAUAUUGCAUUAAAGAAUUCACUGCUCUCAUAUGAACUUUGUAAAGGUAGGUCACCUUUCUACAGAUCCUUACUUUUGGGCCAUGCUCUCCUUUCCUCUUUCUCCCCUCAAAUCACUGUUUUUCUAGCUAACACCAUUCAAGGCUGGGUGAAUAUGCUUAACCCCCUUGGUUUCUGCAGUUACAUAGUUAUUUUCUGUCUGGGCUCCCUAUUUACCACUGCUUCAAGAAGAAAGAAUACUCUAUUAGUUGAAGCAACCUAUAUGCUUCAUAUGUAUGCAGUAUUCUUGAAGUUGGAUCAUUUGUCAAAGACACUUCUGUAAUAACUUGAUGGUGACACUGAGUCCUCUUCCUCUCCCCACAGUUCUUAAAAUAGUCCCUUUUCUGUUUUGAAUAUACAGUUUCCUGGUUGGCUCAUGGGUUUCUCUCUAUUCUCCAAGAUUCCUUGUUUAUUAAAAUUCACUUUCUUUUCCUGGAGUGGUGGUACACACCUGUAAUCCCAGUGGCUCCUGAGGCUGAGGCAGGAGAAUCUUGAGUUCAAAGCCAGCCUCAGCAAUGGCAAGAAACUGAGUAAAUAAGUGAGAUCCUGUCUCUAAAUUAAAUACAAAAUAGGGCUGGGGAUGUGGCUCAGUGGUUGAGUGCCCCUGAGUUCAAUUCCUGGUACCCCCCACCCCUCAAAAUUCACUUUCCUAUUAUUUCAGUCCUCUGUCUCAUCAGAUCCUUAUCUUCUAAAUCUACUUUCUUUCUCCUUUUAAUAACAGUGUCUAGCAGGGUGUUAAACAAAUACCAAUGCAAUCUUGUAUUCUGAGGGUUGUUAAAUUUCAUCACAAGGGAAAAGUGACUUGGAUUCAAAUAUGACUUAGCCUGGGUUCAGCAAAACAAAACAGGUUUCUGCAUCAAAGAAAAUCAUGGGUAUAUUGUAUACCAAUGAUGAGCACUGUGAGUCUCUUAAGGGGAAAAGCCAAAACAACAUUUCUCAAACCUCUGUACCUUGUAAAUAUUUUAGGAUUUUCAUUUAUGGGAUUGGUUGUUCUGGUUUGCUUUGCUGUUUUUAUUUUAUCUUUUAAUUUUUUUUAAGCUGUGACCUUUCUUUAAACAAGGGUAUGCAUAGAAGGGUGGUUGUAAGGAAAUCAACCUUAGCAUCUUCAACCUCCAGGCAUAUCCUUUGCUAAAAUCAAUCAACUUGAGAAAGAGCUGAUUGGAUUUAAGUUCCCUUUCAGAUCCUUUAUAAUCACUCUUAUCCUUCUAUACAAGUGACACCCCCCACUUAGCAACCUUAAUCUUAUUAUUGAUAUAUUACUCCAGAGUGAAAAAGCUGGCAGAACACCAAGCAAAUUGAAAUUGGUCUUGGUGUGGAUGAAAACAGCAAGUGACUUUUAGGUCUGAGUAACAGAUUCUUUGACAACUAAGGUAGUUUUCAUUCUUUCUACUUUCAACAAAAUUUGAGAAGGACCUAAUGGAGUAGUUAGCUGGCUGGUUAUUAGAGAUAAUUUUUGAUGACAUAGAUGAUGCUAUAUAAUAUUCUUCACAUUGCUUACAAGAAUUUCCAUGAAGUAAAGUUUCCAUGUUCUUAUUAAUGUGAGCAAAUUUCUCAGAUUUUAAUUAGAAAAAUGAAAAGUGGAAAUAAGUGUUGUACUGAAUCCUGUAGAUCAUACCGGCAAUAAGUGAUGGUCAUCCAAGUACAUAACUUAAUUGGAAAAAGAAUAUAUCUCUCUGAAUAGGAGAUGCAUUUCUAGUGAGUGCUUUAUAAAUACAAUGUAUUUAUUUUGUUUAGCUCAAUUAUGUACUAGUAUAUCUUUAGUGAUAAUUCAAAGAUGAAUAUCUAUCUCAAAAUAAAUAUAUUUCUUCCACGUGAAAUGUGAAAAUAUUAUCACUAAAUGAUUUUUCAAACAUUUCAAUGUAUUGCAUUAGUUAAAAUUCUGUGGAGAAUCAUGAAGCAUAAUUCAAAGGAAAAAUAAAUGACAAAAUUUCUAUUAAAGGCCAUAUUUUCAGUAGAUGAUAUUGAGAAUCAAAUUGUGGUAUAUUCCAUUUACUUAUAGAAGCCAUAGAACAAUUUCACUUUCAAAUCUCAGUAAUUAAAAUGGAUCUUUGUAAAUAAGUUUAUGAGAAUUAUUUUAGAUGUUAAAUGAAAAAUAUAUGAAGGGUAGCUAGUUGUUUAAAAGUCUUCUAGGAUAUAUGUGAUCAAAAUUCUACAACUCCACCAAACACUCAGAGACAUACUGACCUAAGAAUUUAAUUUUUCCUCUGAUGCGUGGGUUUCCCUGUCCUCUUUAUCUAAGACCAAGCAGUCCUUUUUGAAUAAAGCUCAUGACCUAUAAAAUGUGUUUAAUUAGCUAAUUAAAAUAGUGAAUUUAGAUAAGUGAUAAGGGUUUUGGGGUUCAACCAUUACUGCACCUUUGCUAGGCAACAAUGCCAAACGCCAUGCUAGGCACAGGAUAAACCACCAGUGAACAAAACGACAUGAAUCCUUGUCCUCACAGAUCUUCCUCAUGAGAAAUUGUAGACAGUGGGACAUAUUUAAUGUAAGACUAGUAGAUGGGGAGAGUUGGAGAGCUAGUCGUGGGCAUUUGACAGUUUCCAUAAAAUGUUUGAGGAAAUCACUCAUGGGAAUCUGAAAUUUGAAACUAGACAUUAAGGGUUUAAGGAAGUGAGACAUAAAUAUCUGAGGUAGAACAUUUCCAAAGGAAGAAACAACAAGGAAAACAUCCCUGAGGUGAGAUCAUGUCAAAGACUACUGAGGAAAGUGAUAGUGUGCAUGGAUGGUUGGUGCAAGCAAUAAGGGUAGAGGGGUAAGACAAACACCGGCCAUGUCAUCUGUGGAAUAGAGAGCGGGAAGCAAUUUGGAAUGUUUCAAACAGAUGCCAAGAAAGGAGCGUCCCAAUUGAAAUCAUUUCCAAACCUGGGCUCUCUUAACCUGUCACUGCAUCUGGUGUUUUCAAAAAUCUCCCCCUAUUCCUUUGCCUCUUGUCUCCUUUUGUGGCUCUAAUUAUAACUAAAUAACAAUUCUUGUGGUUUAUAACACCUAGUAAAACUUUUUGUACCAUUUCCUCACAAAUUGAAAAGUCAACCCAAUUAAACUACAGUCAAGAAAGAAAAUAUUCUUCUUAAAAUUCCAACUAAAUAGAGUCCUUACUUCCCCUAAUGGAGUAUCAGAACAUCCUUCCAAAGAAAGCACUCUUUGUUGAGCAUGAUAUCUUCUGUACCUGCAGAAGAUGCAUGUUGCAGUGGAAUGGAGAGAAGCAAAUAGAAAAAAAACUGUUCUAAAGGACAAAUGUGCUGAAAUUUGUAAGUGACAUAGAACAGAGAAAAGUAGCAGGAGAGACAGGAAGUGAGGCAGGAAAGAGGAAGUGGGAUGGAGUAGAGGCAAAGCUGCAAGUGCUGGCCACUUAGAGUUGGGGAAAAGUGGCCAACAGGGUUUUGGAGGCAUGGAUAUUUAAUAUUUUAUUUUGCAGCUAUUUGAUAAUUUUCUGAUGUAAUCAUAGUCCCUACUCCCAAUUUCCCCCCAAUUUUGUGUCUCCUACACAUAUUCCAAAUUAAUUUAUCUCAGAAGACAUCAAAUUAAAGGGGAUGGAAUAUGUUAUAUUGGUUGAUGAAGGACAUUAAAAACCGAGAGAGAGAGAGAGAGAGAGAGAGAGAGAGAGAGAGAGAGAGAGAGAAUGAAUGAGAUCAGUGUGUCAGGGGAAGAAAAAAAAAAGUAUGGAAAUGUAUAUCACACACACACACACACACACCAAGCCUUGAGAAACCUGUAGGAAUCUAGAGGUGGGCAUCACUUGUUUUCCACUAAAUGUAAACUGUAGGGGUAGGCAGGAAGGGGUCAGUUUAUUUUUAUGUAAUAAUCUCAAAGGACUGUAUGACAUCCAUUGGCACCUCAGCUGUAAAACGUGCACCAUACCUGUUUCCUGUAACACUAAUUUUCUAAUCUCAUUUACCAGACAAGCAGGACUAAUGAGCACAUAGUGCACAGAUAUGAGAGUCGUAUCCUGGAAAUAUGAUUUUGUGUUAGAAGUGCAUUAAGUGGGAAGAAGAAAUGCAAGAAUAAGAAGUGGUAUAACUAGAAAAUGCUAAAAUAAAAACUAUGCAGCUAUUAAACCAAAUUGUCAUUUUUAAGUAACAAGGCAAAGAUGAAAAAUCUAAUUGCAUUAAAAUUUCACGCUACAGAAAUUGGCAAUAUCAAAACAAAAAUGAGGAAUAAAAACAGAAGGGAAAGGGUCUAGAAAAAUUUUAGUAUAGGAGAUAGCUGCAAAUACAUUUUCAAAAGCUCAUAUAUAUGGAAACAUAGGGUAGAUGAACAACACUAAGGCUUUACAACCUGGACCUAGACACAUACACACAAUGAACACACAAAUCUGAUCAUGUUAUCCCCUGGCUUAGAAACACCUAUUGGAACACGUGGCUUAUAAGACAUUGGAUAGGACUCUAAUCUCUCAAGGCUUUGGAAAGGUAUUCUGUGCUCGUGUCAAACACAUUCCAGGCUCUUGUGACACAUGUUCUCCUCCAUACUACCACAUUUUGCCUAGAGUUUAGAAUGCCCUUGCCUGUACAAUGUUUCUAAUUGUAAUUGUUUUAGACUUUUGAGAUAUUUUACUACUUUGGAAACUUCCAUAGUUCCAAUAAUCCAAUCAUCCUGGGGUUUUUAAAAUUUCUAGUUUUAUUUUCCUCUACUAUUCACUAACUACAGUCUUUCAGCAAUUUAUUCAGUCUACCUAAAUCCCGUAAUUUGACCACUACCCUUCCCCUGAAAAUUCAAUUUUACCUUUUUAUUGUUUUAAGAUGAUUAAAUUAGAUAAUCUAUUUGAGAUCCAGCUAACAGAGUGCUGAGAAAAUACUAACUGCCAAAUAUAUUAGUUUUCAUAAACUUAUUUAAAUUUGAAUAGAUAUUUCUCCAAAGAUACUUUGCAAAUAUGGCCCAGAAGAAUAUGAAAAGAUGUUCCACAUCACAAAUUGUUGGAGAAAUACAUAUUGAAACCACAAUGAGGAAUUAUCUUACAUCCAACAGCAUGAAUACUAUUGAAAACCCAGAAAAUAAUAGUAUUGCUAUGGAUGUGAAGAAAUUGGAACAUUUAUUGGGAAUAGAAAGUGAUGCAUUUGUUAUAGAAAAGAGAAGAGCAAUUCCUCAAUAAAUUAAAAAUAGAACUACCACCAGUAAUCCCAUUUCAUGUAACAUCUUUAUAUUUGCAGCAGCAUUAGUCACAAGAGCCAAGAGGUGAAAGCAACCCUACCAUCUAUUGAAUGUUUUAUAUGCAGACAAUGCAAUAUUAGACUUUAAAAUGAAGAAAAUCCUGCCAUAUUCUAAACAUGGAUGAACCAUGGGGACAUUUUGUGAAGUGGCAUAAGCCAUUCCCUAGACAUACACUGUAUUAUUGCACUUACAUGAGAUAUGUAAAGUACUCAAAUUUAUAGAAGCAGGAAGUAGAAUGGCUGUUGCCAGGGACUGUGAGAAGAGGGAUGUAGGGGAGUUGUCAUUUAAUGUGCAUGAAGUUUAGGUUUUGCAAGGUGAAAAGUUCUGGAGGUUUAUCAUGCAACAGUGUGACACUACUUAACUCCACUGAACUUCAAAAUGGUUAUAUUUCAAAUAUAACCAUUAAGAUGGUUAGGGGGAAAAAAAGCCACAAAAAAAAAUUAGUUGUUUAGUUGACUUUUUUUUUUUUUCACUGAGACUUUCAUCUGUCCUUGUCCUCUCCUAACAAUUGCUUAUUCUUUCCAAUCACUAUUAGAAUUUUCCCAGUGGUCCCAUCAUAAUAAAAUUGCUCUUUCAUCUGUUUGCCUUUUUUUAUAAUAAUGUCUCUUGAAGGCAGAAUCUUGAUCCUAGUCUCCCUUGCUUCUCCAUAGUGAGGUGACGGAUGCCUAAUAUGUCUUGCUGACUAAAUGGAUGAAUAAAGAAGAGAAGCACAGGACAUUUGCUAUAUCAUUUAUCAAUUUUAAUCCAUUUUCCAUCUUAAGAAAGAAAAAUUCUUAGCAGGGAAUAAGACACCAAAAAUUAACUCACAUUAAAGUACUCAAAGACUAUGCUCCUUAAACAGCAGAACCCUGCCCUGCUAACAUGAGUUCUCUGUCCACAAAAUGAAAAUAGGACAGACAUAAAUUUUAAUUUUCAUGAACAUUACUUGUAGAUGGCUGAGCUUGAAUAGCAAAUUAUUUCUCGAUUUCAUAAAGAAAAGCUGCCAAAGAAGUAUUGACCAAGAUAUUGACCAUAUGUUAGAUUUUUCCUAUUUUAGACAUUUCUCUUUUUAAAUAGGCUAUUCCUGUUAGAAAAAUGGUUUUCUUAAUUCUUUCAAAAUUAAGAUGUGACAUGACACAUGUGUCAUUUUCCUCCUUACUGAGACACCACUCGCACCUGAUGCUCCUUUUUCAUUGUUAACUCUUCUGUAUGCAAACAUGCAGAUAUGUUUAGCAUUUUGAUAUGUGUUCAAGUGUAGGUUGUCACUCUCAAACUGUCCCAACUGAUACUUGUAUUACUAUCAAAAUACAAUAAUGGAGGUUGUCUUAAUUGGCAGGAGAAAUAACGUUUAUUAACAGAUUGAAUUAUCUUAAUUCUCUGUAAUUCUUCCAUAAAGAAUUUUAAACAUUUGUGUCAUUACUAGUUCACUACAUUAUGAAGGGAUAACUAGCAAAUCACUUUAAUGGAAAUAAAAUUGUUACCAAUUUUUUGUUAUUUUUUGAGAUGUGACAUGUGUGUACAUUUUAGUAAUAUUUUAUGUGAAAAAAAUGACAAUGAUCCUACAAUUAAUCUAAUUGUAUGAUCCUAAUUCUGUAAAUAAAUAAGUUUAAGGAUUUAUUGGUUUUUUAUUAUAGGAAUAUUUAAUUUUUAACAAUGUUUCUUGUUUCAUGAGAAUCUAGCAUUUAGAAAUUAUAGAUUUUCUAAGCUUUAAGAUAGUAGGCUACUUCUCUAUAGCUGAAAAUGGGCCUUAUAAAUUUAAAAAAAAAUGACACUGUCUUACCCUUGUACAUAUCUGGGUUGUAUGGAUUAUGUUGGUGGAAGAAGAAAGAACAAAAGGUGACUCCAGAGGGGACCACUAUGGCCAUUGACCUCAUUUCCUAUGACCCCUUCCCUCCCAACAUCACAAAUUAAAAUAAUAAAAACAAUAAUGACAAAUACAUGGGAAACUAGCCUUACUCUGUGAGUCAGAUUCUAUUACUUUCCCCAUUGUUAUAGGUGGGACUAACUCCAAGAGUAGUUAAUGUCUGUUUCAAGGGCACCCACCUAAUAAGCAGAGAUAGCCAGGGUUGCACAAUAGUUUUUUCUUUAUGUUUGUUGUGUUCUUUUGUUGUUUGAUGCUUGGUACUGAACCCAGCGCCUUGCUUAUGUAAGCAUGUCCUCUACUACUGAGCUAUCUGCCCCCCAGAUGCUAGUCUAAAGUAUUUAAAGAAAUAUAAUUUUGGGGUGUGUGUGUAUCUGAAGUCCUAUAUAUAUUUUUUUACUUCCAAAAAAUUUGGUAUCUACUAAAGUGAAUCUUAAUAGUUUAUGGGGAACCUAACAUUUUGUUUCAUCUUUUGUAAAACAAUGAACUAGCUACAAUGACAGAAAACAAUCAUGUAACACAUGUAUGGUGAUUUAUUUAUCUGCAGUGAAAGUAUGUACAAAAUAUGCUACAUAUACUUCAGGUCAGGGUUCAUGAGUCAAAAUAGUCAAGGCCCUGUGUAUCUUUCAUCCAUGCCUACAGUGUAAAGGGAUUCUUCUCAUUUGGGGGUAAAAUAGCAGUGCACAAGAUAAAAUCUAACUUCUUAGGGAGCUCACAUCUUAGUGGAGGAGACAGAGAAAAAUGAAUAAUUACCAUAAAUCAAAUAACUUCUAGUAGUGAUAAACACAAUGGAGGAAGAAAGCUGACAAUGAAGUAAGAAUAACUCUUAGGGACCAGCAGGGCUAGGCUAGAUGAGAGGGGUUAGAAGGCUUUCGGGAGAGUAUCAUCUUGCUGCUGAGAUCUAAAUGAUGAGCAGGAACUGAACCAUGCGAAGAUUUUGGUGGGACCUAUGAGGCAGGAAAUGGAAAGGGAGACUUUCCAGGUAGAUGACAUAGUAGAUGGAAAAGCUCUGAGGCACAAGGGCAUGAAGAAUUUUAAAAACAGAAAAGCAAACAUACUUGAAAAACAACAUUGCUGUGGUCAUUGCUCAUUGUUAGUUAGGAGUAGUGGAAAGCUAAUACAACCAUUUAAGAAGGGUGUAAUUAUUAAAUUUUGAUUCAUGUUUUAACAUUAUUUUUCUUUCUUGUUGUAAAAAGAAAGAACCAUAGAAGAAGAAAGAAUUAAAGCAAAUUCACCCAGUAAGAGGUUGAUAGGUUUCAGGUGAAAUGAUAGGCAUGGCCUGGAUUGUGCUAACCUCCUCUGAGACGUGAGUCUGCUUUUAUUUAAAUGGUGAAGAUGUAGACUCCAGUUUUUAUGGGAGAAAAAUCAAGGAACUUGUGACUAUGCUUUAAAAUCACCACAGUGACUUAAAAUAUUUAUUUAUUUUAUGUUUGGCAAGAUGAUGUGUGUGGAAUAGGCUUGUGUCUCUGCGAGUCAGUCUGCUCUAAUAAAUUCAUGAACAGAAGAAAUUUAUUUCUCACAACUUGGGGGCUAGGAAUCUCAAGAUGAAAGCAUAUUUGUUGUCUGUUGAGGGGUUUUGUGUCCAUAUUGGUGGAAGGAGACACCUCUGGUCUUUUUAAGCCCCUCUUAAGAGCCCUAAUCCCACUCCUAAGGGAUCCACAGAGUGGGACCUGAUCACCCUGCAAUGUUCUCAUCUCCUAAUGCCAUCACAAUUGGAGAUUAUGUUUCAACGUAUGGAUUUUGGGGGGUGCACAAAUGUUGUCCAUAACAAAGGGGAUAAUGUAUUGAUUAAAUGGCAAAUAAGGACAAAAAUACAUAAAUGGUAAACCUUUAAAAAUACAGUUCCAUCCAGAACUCUCCAAUGACCAUCCUCUUCCCUGAAUCCAGCACGGAUUUCCCCAUGUGAUCUAUUGCAGGUUUUGAAUAGUCUGCCUCCUAAAACUUUCAGAGUUGUUCUGGCUUCACCAGUAGAGCAUUCCCAUGAAGGGGACUAUGCUGGUGUUACAUCUUUUGCUAAAAUCUAAUAAAGAGACAGUGCAGACAUGAUAGUGAAGUGAGACCCUUCACCUGUACCUUGAAUUUCCCUUAAUAUCUGUGAAUCCCUGAAACAUUUUCCUGAGACUUUGGAAGGCAUAUUUUAGGCCUCCUGGACAGAAGUAUAAUAGAUAGUGGUGCUGUAUUAUACCUUUCAACAGUGUGAAAUUCCCUUUCCCUGCUCCGGAGGUGCCAGGUUAGAGAUGUAGAUUUUCCCAUUGCCAUUCCUAAUCAUCAAUUCCUUCAGAUCAGAAUCUGCUACAGAAAGGAAAGUACAAAAUAAAUACCCUAAUAGAAGUUUUUUCCCCCUAAUAAAUGAGUGUUUUAUUCUUUAGCCCUUGAACUCAUUCAUAUCUUACUAUUUACAGCAAUAUCUAAAUCUGUUCCUCUAAGAAAAUAAGUUAGCUUCUCAUUACUCCCUGUCCUAUCUUAAAAAAAAAAAAACAAAAAACAAAAAAACACAACUCUAAAGAAGAUGAAGAGAUCAUGAGAAUUGUGGUCAAGAGGAUUAAUUUAAACAUAAAUAAAACUUUUGAAUUCAGGAAAUUAUAUUAACACCCAAUAUACUAAUUUUUCUAAGUUCUGACAGCAGUGUUAAUUGAAAUUAUUUUAGCAGAUCAAUCUAGCUAAAGAAAGAAAAACAAGAUUUUAAAAAUUACUUUGAUAAGCCUAAUUCUGUGUUGCUCCUAAGCAAACUAUUUUGUUUUCUAGCCAGUAACAAGAGUUAUAAUUAGUCUGAUGUUCAGGGAUUAUAUUUUUUUAAGAAAGCUAUCCAAACCUGACCAAAAUAAAACCCAGACACAAGAGUUUAUGUGAUACCAACCAUCUGUCCAUUUUAAAACUCAAUGUAUUACCAUAAAACUGUACUACAUUAAGAAGACAGUGGUUAUUUUUCCUAUAUCUUUUUAAAAAAUUUUUUUAGUUGUAGAUGGACACAAUAUCUUUAUUUUAAUUAUUAUUUUUUUAUGUGGUGCUGUGGAUCGAACCCAGUGCCUCAUGUAUGCCAAGCAAGUGCUGAACCACAGAGCUACAACCCCAGCCCUUUCCUAUAUCUUUUUUAAAACAAUUUUCUUUCAAGUGAAAGAAAAUUCACUGUCCUGUCUGAAAUUCCCUUUCGCUGCUCCGGAGCAGGGAAAUUCACUAUCCUGUCUAAAUCAUUUCCUUGUAGAAUAUUCCUAUUUUUCAAACCCAGGUCUGAAGUAGUACUCUGUGUCAAGUGUUAUACUCUUAGGCAUCCUCUGGCUUUCCAUUGAUAUAUCUAAGACUGUUUAUUUAUUUAUGUUUUCACUGCUUACUCCCCAAACUCAGGUUUCUGAUUCUUUCCUAUAUUUUUCUUCUUACUUUUCUUGGAAGUCCUAAUAUACUUUCAAAUUAAAAAAUCAAUAAUGGGAAUUAUAAAUGAAGAGAGGAAUGUGUGGUUCAGCUCCUACAGAUUGUUGAUGGUAUUAGGAGGCCCCAUUCCUGGAGAAAGUACUGUUCUUUUCACAAAAAGAAUUAUGAAGUAACAUUAUCCACAUUUUUUUGGUAUAAGCUCCUUUUCACAAUUCACUGUAGGUAUGCAUAUAGUAUCUUUCUGAAAUAUAAACCUUGUAAAUAGCAAUGUUGGGAGUUUGGGAAAUGGUAUCCUUGGGCAGUGUAUUCAAGUAGGUGUUUCUACAUCUUGCAGAGCAACUGUUAAAUUCCUCUAUUUUUCUACAAAUUAUGAUGAUAUCAUAAGUAGGUAUGAAUGAUUGGAUCAAGAUCUUGAGAGCUGAUACAUUUUGAGCUAGUUAUAAGUAAGAUCAAUUACCAGUAGUAGUUCAUCAAACUUUGCAUAUAAUUGAUGCUGAAUGUAUCUUUGUAACAAAUGGACAGAACUUAAAUAUAAAAUCAAAAUACCAAUCAGCAUGAAUAUAAAGUUAAUUCUUGGAGAGCAAAAUAGAGAAGAUAUAACAGGUAGGUGAACUCAUCUGGCCUCUGAGGUAAGGUGCUAAUCCUCAAAGCCUAGCUCCAUUCAUCUAUGUGACCCUAAACAAGAAACUUGAUCUCUCUUUAUUUCAGUUUUCUCAUCUGAAAAAUAAAGAUAAUAAGGGCAACUACCUUAGAGCAUUAUGAUGAGUAUUAAAUGAGUUAAUGUCUGUAAAGCCCUUUAAGAAACAUGCUUGCCUGGACCAUAGAAGUGAUUGCCAUCAUUAUUUUCUUAAGCAAAUAAGGGUAUGAUGUUACAAUGUUUAAGUGAACUUUUAAAUAGGCAGUGAUCUACUUUAACACUCUGUGGAAGUAUUCUCUAUUAGAAAUAAGAAUAAAAUUUAAAUCCUAUAUAUUUACGCUGUGCACCUACAGUUUUUCACCUUGCUUUUGUCAUUCAAAAUAUAUUUUGGAUAAUUGCAUAUUCUAGAGCACAUAAAAUUUUCUAUUCUUUCAUCGUUGUUUAGAGUCAGAUAGAGUAAAUGCUUUCAAAGUUCUUUCCUACUUCUACAGCAGAACUCUUGGAAGGACUACAGCUUUUCAAAUGCCUUCUUAUAAUAUUUGGUCUGUGAUCCCAUACAGUGUGCCAUAAUUAGUACCUGGUUCUUCUGUUGUUUUGUUUAGAGUGACUCCUCCUCCUACUUCUUCCUGGAAAAAGAAAUACUCUUAUUAGUAACAAUUCCCCAUGGUUUUCCUAGUAGAUAAAGCCUAAAACCUGUAAUCACAUGACAUAGUGCACGCAGAGAAGUGUCAUAAUUAAAUAUAGACUAAUAUAGUAUUUCAAAACUCAGUUAAAAAUAAUGGAUUCAACAAAUGCAUUAAGACUGUUACGUUAUAAUGUUGUAAAGAUUAUGACCAGAAUAGGGAAGGAGACUUCAGUAAACAAACUGUUGGAAGAUAAAUAACAGCUGGUCAGCAGAGGGGAAAAUAAAGCUGAAUUCAAAGCCGGCAUUGUUACAACAGAGAAGAAAUAUGAUUUACAGCAUAAAGCCUCUCCUUUUUACCACUAAAUGCUUAUGAACUUGCAGCACCAGGUACAUCUGCAAAGGGAGGGGGUGGCAAGGGUGUAAAACUGGGAGAAUCUGUGGAAAGUCUGUUUAAAAAGAAUUAGACCCUGAUCCUGAUCCAGUUUCCUGGCCUCUCAACAGUUAAGUGGUCACUUCCCCAUCAUUUUGACAGAAGAUUAACGUUUUACAUUUGGAAAGGGUAAAUGAGAUGAUCUCUGACCAGGAAAAGGGACCCUAAAUUAAAGUCAGGUAAGAAAGCAAACAUUAUCCUGAUGGAGUUGAGUUGCUCUGUGCUCCACCCUAACUUCCUGUCUUCUCACAUCAAGAAUACUGGAAACAUAUUAAUCCUCCAGGUAUAAAAUGAGAAUGUGGAAAGAGUGAAUCCGAAAAUUACUGGUAUCAGAAGUCCCUAGGAAAACAACCCAUUAUUCUUCUUAUAAGGAAAAUCAUAGUUAGAAAAUCCUACCCACUGAAUUUCCAAUCAGCUUUUUAUUCUUUUACUUUUAAAUAAGAGUAUGUAGCUAUGGAUCAAUAGAUGUUUGUGGAAAGCAUCCACAAAUGAAAGGAGGAGGCAAAAAUAAACAAAAGCAGAUAAGAUUUGAAAGUUCAGGUACAUGUGAAGAAAAUCUCAAUAGGAAGUUUGGAAAUUAAUGAACUCUCUCAGAAAGGAGAGAAAGCAGACAACAAAGUGGAAAUCAGGAGGCAAAAAAAAAAGAAGAGAGAGAGAGAAAUGUGGUCCAUCAUAUGAGUUCCAGAAAAACAUGAAGAGAAAAUACUGAAAGUUAAUAGUCAAAUAAUUUAGGCCAAGAACUUCCCAUAACAUAAGAAGAGAACCCAGAAGAGAAAUAACUGAAAAGGAGUCCUUGUGGUGAUGGUGAAGGGACAUUGAGAUGAUCACUGCCAAACAGGGUCUGAAAGCAACCUCUCCAGAUUGGAAAGUGGGAAUUUGGGGGAGGGAUUUCCUAAGAGGAAGGAAAUGAAGUGCUAAUAUAUUUGUAUAAACUUGUAUAAGUUCUCUUACAGGAGAGUUAAUGGUAACUAUGUACAAAGAGAUCAACAAGAACACUAUUAUUACUUCAAAGAAAAUCCAAAAUGGUGGGAAAAUAGGAAAAAGUGCCAGGACCCUAAACUGCUAAGUAGUUAAUAUUAACCAUCAAAUUUCUAAACACUGCAUAGUGAUUAAGCUAAACUCUGAUAUAGCUCCACUGAGGAAUUUAAGGGAUUUAGAGGAUGGUGUGUUUCCGUCCAUUUAUGUAUCUGUGGUGGAAGCCAUGAGUUUGAAGGAGGGUUGGGAGGAACUUAAUCUCCAUGUUCCACAAUGGAAAGCCCAUAUGUGGAGUCCCCAACAGAAAAACAAAGAAACAAGAAAGCUAUUUAUAGAUAACAUAUCAUAGAUAACAGUAUUAUAAAAUAUGCUAAAAGGAUUGAAAGUUAUUCCAUUAGAUAAGCAGGAAAUAUAUUCACAGGGUGUUUCAAGUUUGGAUCUGAAAUUUUCCCCCAAAUCUCCUGUAUGUAGGCAAGGGUAGGUCCCGGGGGUGGUGCUAAUGUGAGGUGGUGGCAACAUGAGGAGGUGGGGCCUACUUGGAGGAAUCAGGUCACUGAGGGUGUGUCCAUGAAGGGCAUAUUGGACUUCACUCCCACCUCCUCCUGCUUUCUGGAACAUACAACCCUUAGUCUUCCCAUCAAGUGGCCUCACUACCAGACCACUGUGAUGAGACUAAGCAACUGUGGACUGAAUUCUCUGAAACAAGUCUUUCCUACUUUAAGUUGAUUUUUUUCAGAUCUUUGGUCACAGUGAUUGAAAACUGACUUACCCAGGACUCUGGGUAGUAUGUGGAUUUUAGGAAAAAAAAAUUAAACAAUUUGAUACUAGAUUUUACAUAAUUUGGGUAAACAUUAUAGGGGGGAAAGUAGAUGUUUUCUGUAACUUUAUAAUACUUUCAGAGUCUUCAUAACUAGAUAUUAAGAACAAAAUCAUAAGAGUUCUUAAUUAAUCCCAUUUACUUGUGUGUAAAAAGAAUCAAUAGCCUUCUUUAUUUUCUUCUGCUCUUUUAUUCAGGAAUUUGAGGAAAUGCCAUAAGAAAAGAUUACAAGAAUCUUAUAUGACACACUUUCUCCUUGUUUGCUCCAGUACUAAUGUUUUUGAGAAUUAAAGGUGGGAAACAUAAACAUGUUUUUUUAAUGUGUAGGAGAAGGUUUGGCACUAGUUGACCUCCCAGCCAAAUUUUACUUUGCGAACAUGGAGAGGGACAUAUGGGGAACAAAUAAGAGUAUAAUAAUCUUACUAUUUGUUAAAAAAAUAGGUUAUAUAAUACAUAAAUCUAUAAAUCGGACACUGCGAACACCAAAUAUCUAUGUAAAAGCUGAUUUGUAUCAAUUAAUAUCUUGUAGUCUUUAUUUUUUCUUCUGUUUCUUAUCCUCACCCUAAUGUUAGAGGCCAUUUUUUUCUUAUUCUGUUUUUAUCAGUAAACAUAAUGAUUGAUAAGGAACAAGGGAACAAGACACUACUUUAGAAUGGGCAUAAUGUUUAUAUAAAAAUUUACAUAUUUCAUGCCCACAUUUUCAAUAGCCUUUUCACAAGAUAGCAUCUUCUACACCUUAAUUAAGAUGUUAUGUCAUUAAAAUAUGGCAGCUGGUCUGUGUGCUACAACCUGCACAACAACAUAUUUGCCAUGAAGACGUGACUCUAUUUUAUAGAAGCUUAAAAAAAUCAGUAUUGAUAUAAAUAGAAGAAUAAAAUCCAAAGGAUAGAAGGAAUAUUGAUUUUUAAAGAAUUAAAGAAAUUAUAUUUGUAAAUGUAUAAAUGAGAUUAUUUGAAUAAACAUUUUCUAAGAAAUCUAAUGAAGGUAACCAAAGAAUAUCUUAGGCACUGGAGGCCAGAAAUGAUCUUUAAAGAAGCUAAGAAGGUCUAGUAGAAAAUAUACACAUAUAAAUAAAACUUCUAGGAAUCUAAAAUUAGCUACACAGAAACUUCUUUAGUUUCAGAGGGUGUUAAUAUACUGAAAAGACAUCACUUUAAGGCAAAUAGAAUUUAAAUAUGAUAAUAGCACUGCAUUAUCUUUUCUACUAUAAUAUCUUGGGCAUUUGUUCAUUCACUAAGCCCAUUCAUUAGAAUUCCACAGUAGUUAAGAGCCUACUAUGUGUCAGGCAUUCUACUAGCUUCUGGGCAAAAUAAUUAAUGAGACAGCCAAGUUUCUGCUCUCAAAGGCAGAGACUGUCUUGGGAAAGACAGAUAAAUAAAGAAGCAAUUGUUAAGUGCCAGCAAUGGAAAGACCUCAACAUUCUUUAUAGACCAUCAAUUUUAGAGCUAUAAACAUGGAAAGAAUUGCAGUGGUCAUCUGAUUUUAUUAUCUGCCAGUUAACUGAGAUCCAGAGAAUAUAAUGCUACAGCUAUAGGUAGAGGCAAAACAAUAACACAUAUGUUCUAGUUUCCCUUGUGAUGUGGUCUCUAGUCAGCACAUGAAACAGUUUUUAAGUUUUGGCUCCAAGAGUAAAAUAUGCUUUAAGCAAAGCGAUAUUUCUUCAAGACCAUAGUAACUACAUAUUUAUUUGAAAAACAGAACUUCCAGUAUGUGGAGCAUGGGGUUAGAGUCUGAACACGUAUUCUAAAUGAGAUACAUUGAUAUGGUUUGGAUAUGAGGUGUCCCCAGAAGCUUCUGUUAAUGGAGAAAUGAACAACAGUGCGAUUAUUAGAUUAUGAGAGCUGUUACUUCAUCAGAAAAUUGAACCAUGUGAUGGAUUAAUGAUUUGAAUGGACCGACUGAAUGGUAACUCUUAGCAGGUAGGACAUGGCUGGAGGGAGUAGAUAAGCAAAGGCAUGCCUUUGGGGUUUAUAUUUUAUCCCUGACUCCUUACUUACUCUGCUUCCCAUGUUAUAAGUUGAGCAGCUUUCCUCUACCACACCUUGCUGCCAAUGAUGUUCUGUCUCACCUGGGCCAGGACAAUGAAGUCAUCAGGCCAUGGGCUGAAUCUCUGAAACUAUGAACCCAAAUAAACUUUUCUUCCUCUAUGUCGUUAUUGUCAGGUAUUUUGUCACAAUGAUAAAAAACACAAUGAUAUCUUAAAUAGAUAAGAAAUUAUCUAUUUCUUCUAGCAAUAGAUUCUAGAAGAAAACACUUAGAAAAUUUUACUAAGUGCUAGGGAAGUAGCUGAGAUACUAAAAUGAUUAAAAACCUAUUCUAUCUUAAUUCUGUAUGUACUAUUUCACUCUUCCUUUGCAAAGGCCUUAUGCAUUGAAUAUGGUUAUCUCUGUAGAAUGUGAAAACUUUAGGAGAAAAAAAUAGUAACUUCAUCAGGACUGCAAAACAAUUUCAUGGUAGAAGAAGGAUUCCAGUGUAGUUAUUUGGUUUUGUUUUGUUGGUGAUCUACCUAAAAAUAUUAUUGGCAGGUAACAAUCACUUUGUUAAUUUGAAUAUUAUACAUUAUUUGUACUCCAGUAAGAAUAACCAUAGACUAUGUGCUACGGUUUUAUGAUAUAAUGAAACAUCUCAAGAGUAGAAUGGUCAAUAAGAGAAGAAGAGGUGGAAAAUAUUGAAUUUGGGGGAAGUCCUUUUACUUCCUCUUCUUAAGAAUUCAUACACAUAUAUAGAGCUACAAAUAAAUACUGGAGAUCUAACUGAUCCUUUGGUUGAAGGUUAGAAAAAAGCAACUAAGAUCUUCUCUAUCAAUAACAAAAUAGUCCUCCCUCAGAAUACUUGGGGAAUUGGAUCCAGAAUGUUCCCUAUAUACCCAAAUUUGGUGAUUCUCAAUCUCUUAUAUAAAAAUUACAUAAUAUUUGCAAAAUCUAUGUACUUCCUUCUAGAUACUUUAAAUCAUAUCCAGAUUAAUUAUAAUACAUAUUACAAUAUAAGUACGCUGUAAAUAGUUCUGCAAUUUUUAGGGAAUAAUGAUAAGAAAAAUAGCUUGUCCAUGUUUCAGACAGAUACACUUUGUGAGGGGCAUUUUGACCUAAGGUGGUUUGAGUUCUCGUGGAUAUGAAACCUAUUGUAGAAAGCUAUUUUCAUCUUUCAAAAACAUAUUUUUCCCAUUUCAUCUGUGAAGAGACCAAUAUUUUAAUAGAGAAAGGUUUUCUGGAACUAGAUGGGUGCCCUUGUGAAGACAGACUGAGGCAUUGUGAGGAUGGUUCCAUAUUAUCUGAAAGGGAAAUGGGGGUUGAAUGACAGCAAUAGUGUCACUAUUUGCCUAUUGUGAGUCCAGCUUUAAAACAGACUCAGGUUUUGUUAGAUUACUGCUCCAGGCCAUAGUUAGAUGCCCAAGAGUUGAGGAACUGUUAAAGUAGUAUUUUAAAGAUGUAGCCUUGCAAUAUCAGGUAAAUUUGAAAACCCAUCUCUUGAAUUGGGGAUCCACUUCUCAAGGUUAGGUGAGGAGAAUUUUUAAAAUCUUCAAUGAUUUCAACAAACAUAAUUAGGACAGAUUUCUUUCCAAGAAUCCAAUUUCUACAAUUGUAGACACACCCCUUUUCUUACUCUCCUUGGUAUACUGUAUCCUAAAUUCAGCUGGUUCAGCUGAAGGUAUGAAGAAAGAAUCUGAUUAAAAUAAUUGGCAAUAAAGUAUGAAUAAUUAACUGACACCACCCUGCUUGCUUACGGGGGUAUUUGCUUUCAAGAGUGUAGGUUAAGCUGUCACUAAUUGGGAUUGAGGAAAGAGCAGCAGCAAUUUAGCACAGUGUUUCAGCUUCACAAGUUCCUUUCUCAGUAAGGUAUUUUUAUCUCAAACCUCUCAGUUGAGCAUAUUCUAAAGCACAUAUUACCUCAUAGCAAUAAUCAUUAAUCUUCUUUUCAUCUAUGAUUCCUGUGACUUCUUUUCUGAUAUUUCCUUUUCUCUCCACUACCAUACCAUAGUGCUUUCCAUCUUGGAUAUGUACCUUCUCACACAGGGGACGGCCACACAAACAGGCACAUGCCAUGGCCCCUUGUGGAUGCUGACAUGUACCAUGCUUCUUAAACUCCUAUAAUUAUCUAUUAGCUCUUUAUUAUGAUGAUUACUAUUUUAUUGAAUGUUCACUAACUUAACAUGCUCCCAAAACCAAUGGAACAUUACCAGCACCAUAUCACUCCUUUUGAAAAAAUGUUUCUUACCAAGAAUAGCAUCUCUCCUCCCAUUAUUUUUGGCGAAAUCGCUUUAUGUUUUACCAGACACUUGAGAGACAGGAUUAGAAUACUGAAUACAUAUAUAUAUAUAUAUAUAUAUAUAUAUAUAUAACCUAAGCAUUACAUCCUCAUUUUUUGAAGCAAUUAAUUUCAUAUCAAAAUUUCAUAUUAUUUUUUGGUAUAUACUUAUAUAUAUAAAUAUAUAUAUAUAUAUAUAAUCAAAAAAAUUAACAAAAACAAUCAAAUGUUUAUUAAAAAUAGUGACAUUUUAGACAGAUAAUUUAGAAUGAACUGAUUUGUUAAGCAUUAAAAUGUUUUUCUUUUUUUCAUAAGAUGCAUUAUCAUGUUAUUGUAAAGGUAAUAAUAAAUGAACAUUUUGGUAUGAAUUCUUUUAAAGAUAUUAAAGAAUUAACAAAACUCCUCUUCAAUUAAAACUUGCGCCUGGUAUCUGUUUUCUAUGAAACAAGUCUUUUUUGUCUCAUAUCAAAUCAAUCAAAGAGUAUUAGUUGCCUUUUUCUAUGCAAAUGUUUUUUGAGAAGACUAAUUUUCUCAUCAGUUUAUAAAUCAUUUUAUACAAUAUAGUAAUUUACAUUAGACAUGGUAAGAUAGACGCUUAUACUGAAAUAUUUAUCAUUAAAAUAGAGUUUUCCUUAAUUCGGUGAUACUCUUCCAUGAAACUAAGGCCUUAUUGACAGGAGUUUUUCACAACUAAUGAAGCAUGUAUCAAGUUCUCAUUUUCUUAUAAAGUUGGGCUUCCACAAAGAUUGGGGUUCUCAUAGUCACAGAAAAAAGCCUUCUUUCCUCCAAACUGGUGGGAGUUCAUAUUCAGCUCUCAGGAAAACUUUGAUAGUAAUAGUUUUGAAAACACUCAAUUUUGUGGCAGAUGAUAUAUACUUGAUAGUUAUUCAGGAAAACAUGUCUCUGCUACAUAAAUGUUGGUCAUGGAAUUUUUGGUAGAAAAUAAAUGGAGGUUGCAGAGCUAUUCACAAUUUAAUCAUAGCAAAAAUUCAGACCUUCCUUCCUGUUUUAGACUUUCCAUCUUUUGUCUCAGUUUUACUUUCCCUUAAUAGAAAAAUAUUUUCCUAAAUUAUUUGUUUUUUGGGGUUCUGUUGGUUAAUCAUCUUUUAGUUAAAAAAAAAAAGGUUGUUUGUGGUUUGUUUCUGUUGAGAUUUAUUUUGUUUUUAUAUCAUCAAAUGAUGACAGAGUCAGUGGACACAUUUCCUUUUGGUUUCUGAACUUUCUUUUAUUUAUUUUUCUUCCUAAAACUACUGAGUUUUCAAGUCUCUUUGUAACGCCUUUUCUCUGAAUAAAAUGUCCUUUUUGGAAACACGGUGUUUCCACAUUUGGAGAGUUCUACCAUGUAAUUUGAACCACAAACAUUUUAAUUGGUAAUGUUGAGGUUUUCAUUAUUGCUGAAGGGUACCCUAUUUUGGGAGGGGGUUAAGAGCACUUAUGCAAAUUUCCCUCAGAAGGGCAUGAGGCAUUGAUGAAGUCCUUUCUGUUUUCUAACGCUUACUAGAGAGUGGUAAAGAAGUACAACAGCACUAAGUGGUAACCAGGGGAGUGUUAAGCACCUACAAAGUAGGAGGCACUAUUUUUUUGAGGGGGAGGGGGAGGCACUAUUUUGAUGAUACAGCAGUGAACAAGACUUACUAGAUUCCAGCCCUCAUAGAGUUUAUAUCUAUUUUUAGAGAAAAGCAGGCAAUAAAUAAAAUAAACACACAUUUUGUUUCUGGUAUUGAUAAGUCUCCUGAAGAAAAUUGUGGCCAAGGUGAUCCAAAGUAACAGAUAUCACCAUUGUGUACAGAGUGGUCCAGGAAGCUUCCUCUGAUGAAAUGACACUUAAGCAUAGGGGUUGAAUGGAGUUUAGAGGAGAGGGAAAAACAGAAGGUGCAGGUCCUGAAGCAGGAGGGCUUUGGUAUAUUUGAGGAAGGUCAGAUUGGUUGGAGUAUAGUGACAGAGUGAGUAAAUGAGACAGGAAGCAGGAUACAGAGGGCCUGGUAAAGAUGGGGUGAGUUCAUUCUAUAGGGAAUGGGAAGCCAAACAAGGGAGAAACAGGUGACAUAAUGUGGCUUGUGUUUCAUCAGGAUCAUUUUGGCUGCAAUUUGGGAACAGAUUAAAGGGAUUGAGAUGGAAGCUGGAUAUCCUGUCAAGAGAGAGAUGAUGGUAACAUGAGGAAGGGAAUUAGAGGUAGUAUAGGUCAGUAUAUCAAAUACAUUUGAGUGAAGAUUUCUCUUGAGGAAUUGGAUGUGAGAAUGAAAGAAUAAUAGUCAAUAAAAGUCAAUGAUGGAAAAAUUUUUGUCUGAGGAACUGGGUGAAUUGUGGGUACCAUAUAUACACAUGUCAUUUUAAUGUACUAAUGCUGACAUAAAAUCCCACAUAUCUUAUCAACAGAGAUAUUCACAGAAUAAAUCUUAGGUUUUUUAAAAAAAUUUUGUACUACAAAGUGACCAUCUGUGAUGAUUCCAGGAAGAAUAUAUUGAAUUUGCUUCCAUUUUACCUAUGUUUUAGUGACUGAGGAGAAACAUCAUUUUACCUGUAAAACCACAUUACAUGUCCUACCUUCAUUCAGGCUAAUUUCUACCAUAUCGUGUCAGGUGAGUUCAGAGGUAUAACAAAUGCUUGCAUUAAGAGAAAAUAGCUAGAAAUAUUGCAAAUCAGUUUAUGAUGUUAGCAUUCUUCAAUUUACUUAACUUUUUUUUUUAACUAGGGAAUUAAGAUAAUUUAGAUUUUAAGACCUUAUCUUUUUUUGGAUCAGACCCAAGAAAUGAGGGGUUCCCUGCCCCCUUUGCAAAGCUCUCUUCUUUAUGCACCAGGUUUUCUGACAUUCUGAAUUAAUACUAAGCCUGUCUAAAUUUGACUUAGGUUGGGGGAUAGGGAAGACGUACUUUACUCCAGGGAAGGCAAUAUCUACUUUUAUAGGAAACUGAAUGUUGUAAAUACUGCAUAUUCAGGGUAUUUGUACUAGUAAGUUAUGUGAACAGAUAACUUGAUAACAAAUAUCUAAGAACUGGGUCAGAGGGAGAUAUUAAAUUUGUGCUAUAUAAGGUUUCCCAAAGGCUUGGUUUAUUUUGCAAAUAAAGUUAAAAAUGCUUUUUCUUGGUGGCUGUCUUUAUAUUUUAUGACUCUACUAAAGAAAGUUUCUUAAAAAUUGGAUUUUUGUUUUUUAAUUUAGGAGCUGAUAUUGUAUGUUAACUUAUUUUAAACACUUUUUAAAUAGCUGAUUAUUAAGCACCUUUACACUUUGCUAAAUAUCUUUUUAUAAAUAUCUUUGAUGCUCUCCCUGAAGGUACCAAAGUGGCCAUUCACUUAGCAAUCAUUUAUGGGGUGCUAAAGGCAACAGCAGUCACUACAAUAUCAAUCCUUAUCCAGAAACUAGGGAGGCAUUUGGGAAAAUAUCAUUAACCAAAUUAGGGUUGAUGUGUUUGUUUAAAUAAUUCUUACUUUUGAAUGAAAAUAUCUGUCCUAAUUAGCAUUUCUUUAUUUCUUAAAUGGCACAUGACUUUCAAUGUCCUGCAUCAUUUUGUAUCCCCUCAGGAAUUUCCUCAAAUGCAAACUGCAUCUAAACCUUUCCUACUAAAUCCUCUUUGAGGAUUGUGAUCUUUGAUCUUUGGAUUUCUUAUCUGGUACUACCUCUGUUGCCUCCCCACAGUGGAUUCUUCUCUUGUAAACCCACCAUGUUAUCUGAUCACACUAUUAACUUUCUACUGUCUUUUUUCCCAUACUGUUGACCCAGUCACUGGUAAUGAUCAUAUCCUUGAUUUUCAAAGAUAUUUAUAGACUUUCAAACAUGGCUUUCAAAGCAGGCACUGGGAAGAAGUGAGGAAACUCAGAUGUAUGGGACAGUUAGUACUUAUUGGCAUCAAUUUAGAUAAAUAGGAAACAGGAAUGGACAACACAGAUUAAUUUCUUUUUGUUUUGCCCAUCAGACAGCUGCAAUGUAAGUAGAUUUCCUUUUUGCAAACCUUUAUGAUAACUCUGCAUGCAAAAAAAAGGUACAUCAAAAGCAACAAACCCUUUGCAUUGACUUGUAUUAUUCCUUCCCAAAAUCAUUCCUCCUAUUUUUCCCCCUCAUCUUCAUUUUCUGGGCUUGCAAUUCCCAAGAUUAUGUCAAUACUACAAUCCUUGCCUUAGGCUUUCCUCUUUUAAAAGGACUCAAGACUAAGAAAGCUGGUAUUAUUAAUCUAUUCAUUUAGCUAAGAUUGUGAAGACUAGAAAGGUUUAUAGGAUCCCUUCUGCCUAUAAUAUCUGAAUUACUACCAGUUAUUCACAUUGUUCUUUAUAUGAUGUUUCUAAAAUAAAUAAAUGAACAAAACAACAACAGAUUCCUCUUUCGAAUGACAUGGAAACUUUCUUUUUUAUUUUUCUAUGAUUAUUCUGAGAUUUAAAUUUUUUUUCUUUUAACAUAUAAAUAUAUAUAUUUAUAUGUAUAUAUAUAUACAUAUAUAUAUGUGUAUAUAUAUAUAUAUAUAUAUAUAUAUAUAUAUAUAUAUAUAUAUAUAUUCAAUGGACCUUUAUUUUAUUUAUUUAUCUACAGUGCUGAGAAUCAAACCCAGGACCUCAUACAUACUAGGAAAGUGCUCUACCACUGAGCUACAAACCAGCACUCAAGGUUUUUUAAAAAUAUCUUUGUUAAAACUUAUAAUAAAUAUAUCAUAAAUUAUUCUAUUGAAUGAGUGAAUCAAGAAAUGGUGAGCUAUCACUAUUGCAUAUGCCGUAAUAAGUAAUAAAGAAAAAUCAUUAUGUGGCCUGAUGUGAACACCUAAAACUUAUGUCAUUUUCUGCUCAAAUCUUAAAUUAACUUUGAAAAAUUAGCCAUUUUAAAAACAAUAUUAUAACUGAUGUGUGAUCCUUUUCCCUUUCAGAUAUUUAAUAAAUAUUAUGCACUCUUAAAAUCAAUAAGAUAAUGAAGAUUUUGAUCAUUUUGGUAUACUCUACAAUUAUGCAAUUAGAUGUCAUAAUUACAUGUUCAAAUGAUUACACACAUGAACAUGAAUUUCUUAAUUAGCAAUAAUUAUACUAAUGAUCUAAAUUCACAGAAAUUGGCUGAAGUGACUAAAUCAAGUAAAUACUUCCAUUCCAAGAAUGAUUUGGGAAAAUAAAAAUGUGUAUCUAUCAUAGACUGUCUUUCCACAGACUCUAGCUUCUGCUAUUUAUAAGAAAGCUGAUGUAAAUUGUAUUUGUUUUGCACUGAGAAUUGAAUUAAAUAUGUCUUACCUACAAUAAUAAUUACAUAAAUUUAUUGAGAGAGGCAAAAUACUUUCAUAUUGUCUUGGGUAUAUUUUGGAAUCUGUGUCAUUCCCUGUUACCUGAUAAAUUCCCCAUACAUUUAUCUCUCCUUGGUUUUGUAUCCUUGACAUAUGCUGUUGUAGGAAAAUAGUGACUAUUUGAAUAUAUUUUAUAUCUUAGAGUUUCUUAGACAUCAAGCACACAAGUAGCAUAGGUAGAUAUAUAUUUACAAUAAUGAUAUCUUAGCUUUUUAUCACUUUAUUUAUUUAAGGAAUAUAAUAUAUGAAAACCAUUAAUGAUUGACUAAAGUUUCAGUUUUGUCCAAACCUUAAUUAAUAAAUGAUGUCUAUAAUAAUUAUGUAUACUGGAGGGCUUAUGAUGGUAGGUUCACAUAUAUGCAUAUGUUGAAGAUAUAAAAUAGAUUUAUAUGUAGUAUAAAUAUUUCAUACGUGUGUAUGUAAAAAAAUAUAUAUAUAUUUACAUACACAUAAAUAUAUGUGUAUUUACUGGAACAGUAUUCAGUAACUAUCUGAUUACUAUAUCUCUUUUACUAUGUGAUUUGGGUUUUUAUUGUGUAUGUGUGGAAAAUAAAAUUAGAAAAAGAAAAAGAUAUGUAAAUAAGAUAUUUUAUAAUGCUGGGUGUACUGGUCUUAUUUUGCAUUCAGGUAGAUGAAAUCAUAGCUUCAGGCUCAGCAGCUUCAUCUGUUUUACCUAUUUCCCUAAUAAACCUGAGUUCAAGUUAUACAAUUACUGGUGAGACAUUGAUGGCAUCCUCCUUCAUGAUUUUAAAAAUGUUUGAACUCCUCUCCACACUUGGGGUGAGAGUGAAAAGUUCUCAAAAACUUCUCUACAUGUAUCUGAAUUUUAUCACUCUAAUAGGCUGUUAGAUCAAUACUAUAACUGUUGAUUCUGUUUCUUAACCAAGUACACUAAGAAUUGCAUCUAUGAAAAUUGAUUCCUCACAAAAUACAUGUCUUCCCUUCUGAGUUAAUUUGGUUCUGAUUCUAUUUAUUUAUUUAUUGAGUUGUGGGGAUUGAAGUACUGAUCUAUAUCUCCAACCCUUUUAUUUAUUUAUGUAUUAUUUUUGUUUUGAGACAGUGUCUUACUAAAUUCCUUAGGCUGGCCUUGAACUAGAGAUUCUCCUACCUCACUUCCCCAAUAGCUGGGUUUGUGGGUGUGUGUCACUAUACUCAACAGAUUCAGGACUCUUAUUGAUAGAUUCAGAUUUGUAACACUAAUGCAAUAGACUCUGGUAAAUGUAGUUUUUGGUUUUUGGACUCUGAAUUUCAAGAAGACAUCCUAGUCAAAAGUUGAAGGCGUGUGAGUAACACGGACUAUAUCCUGUGGUCACAAGAGGCAACUGUAUGAGGAACUUUCCUACAUCUACCACCCAAUAAAGCAUUUGAUACUUAUCAUAUUUAGACAAAAGUUAUGGUUUCUAAUUUAGUAGUGAGUAUAUCUUGAAACCGCCAGUGAAUUGAAGAUAAUAAAUUCCCUAUUUUGUGUGAAAACCAGUCUGUUUUAUGAAGACUUAUAUACUUUUCUCUUUUAACUUUGAAAUUCCCCAUCUUCCCCCUUCUUUGCCCAGGUUACAGGUUCAAGGUUCCUUUUCUUAAUAUUUUUUCUGUCCCAGGAAUAGUCACUCAAGAAUCCCAGGUAAUAUGAUACAGGAUAAUUUGUGUUUCAUUCUUCAUCUCCAUUUCACUUGGGAAACAUAAUUUUGUAGAAAUAUAAAUAUGCACAGGAAAUUUUACAAUGGGUCAGUAAAGUUUAAUAAUGUAUACUCUCUUUUUGUAGAGUUAAAGUGUAGCCAUUUUUUCCCCUUGUUCUUAGGGAACAAAUACUUUAAAGCCACUGAAGUCCGGGUCUUUUAAUACCAGAGUAAUACUGAACAUAGGUUCUGGAUCAGAGUGGGCUCACAGCUGUAUAUGCUAGUAAUGAGACCAUGGGAAAAUCAUUUUUCUGCUGAAGCAUCAGUUUACUCAACUGUAAAUUGGAAAGUAGUAAUUAAACAACAUUAUUUUUUGAGGAUUAAGAGGGAUAUAUUAACAAAGAAAUUGCCUUAGCAAAUACUUGUUACUCUUAGUAGAAAUAUAGUCAUAAGAUGGUUGUUAGAAUGUUGGAGCCACUACUAACUAUGUGGUCUUCAGAAAGUUAAUCUUUCUUAAUCUCAGUUUAGUCAUCUGCAAAUUGAGCACCACAAUGUUAGCUGGUCAGAUUUGUAUGAAGACAGUGAUGCAAGACUGUUGCUCAUUUUGUCUCUUUCUAAGCUUGUAUCAAAAUCGAAACAGGUUAAAUAUAAAUUCUUGCAAUAUUUAACCCAGGCAUUAAUCUAUUGGGCUGAAAUAUUUCAAAUGUGUCCAGGAAUAGCAUACUGUUAAUAUCCUGUGAUCCUUGAGUUCUGAAAUUAGGGCACUUAAAUGGACAUUUAAAGUAAUACUAUUUCAGGGAUAAGAUGUCUUACCCAUCGGUUUAGUUUUACAUGUCUUAUUGUUGAUAGUGUUCGAUCACCUGGAUGUUGAAUGGAGUUUAAAUUAUAAGCUGACAGUUAAGUGUAAACAUCUUUUAUACUACCUUCAAGGAUUUCAGGGUGCCCAGAAAGUGUGCAUUUGUUUUGUUUUUGCUUUUCUGAAAGGUGUUCAAAUAUUUUGGAAGCAAAGUAUAAAAAUUUGCCCAGAAGCCUGGGAAUGAAACAAUAGGAAUUGAGGAUAUUAAUUUGCUUUCCAGGUCUAGGUACCCAGAAAAAUGUACACAGACAAAUGAUUCACUGCAAAAUAUUUCUGUGGCCAAUUUGAUGUCUCCUGGGAGUUCUUUAGAUGAAGCUUUAGAAAACGUGAAAUAGAAUUGCAUUGCAUUACUCAUUUGGCACAUUCUGGCUAAAUUUGUUAGAAGAGUCCUAGAAUGUCAUAAUCAGAAAUACUUUUUAAGUCUUUAUACUUCAAAGAUACUUCUUUUUUUUAUCAGUAUGCUUUAAAAAAUCUCUUAAGUAUUACUCAUUUAUUUGGUUACCUUAUAAACAAAUGUAAAUACAACUUUAGUACACUGCUGUCUUGGAAUGAAAAGAACACAGAAAUGUAUUAUUUCUUACAUUUCUAAUACUCUGCUGUGUCUGCAAUACUGUUAACUUAGAUUAUAUUCCAUUAUAAAAGGUACUAAAGAAAUUUCUGCUUCACUUUCAACAAAAUAAAAAAUGAUGGUGAAAAUAUUCCCAUAAUAAACCCAUAAGGAGAAGAUGGAAAUGUUCAGCCCUAACACUCAAGAAAAAUCCUUGAUUUGUAAAUUUUGUGGUCAAUCCAUAUUGAUUAACUAGUGUAAAAAUGCUAAAUUUAAAUCAAGGAAGACUUUUAAAGUUCUAGAAGAAUCAUUAUAGUAGCACUUCAAUUCCACCUGCAUUUAUUCACUUGCAUGAUUAAAAAAAAAGUUUGGAAUAUACUGUAUGUCAUUAUAUCAGGUUACCAGCAUAUAAAUGAGAUAUUGAUGACAGGUUUAAUGAUGUUUUUAGCCAAUACUUGAUUCUUCCUUUUAUUAGGUGCUACUCAAUCUUUUAGAUGGUUAAUACAGUGUUUCCAUGCAUGCAGUUUCCUUUAUUUCUUUCAUUACUUCCAGUUGUUUUUCCAAGGUUACUACUUUCAUUAUUUUUCAUUUGGUAAACAAAGAAGAUCUUUUAUUUAUAGAAUCUUCAAAUGUUAAAAAUGUAUUUCUGAUGUUUUGCUUCAGUCUUCCACAACAAAUGAUAUUCAACUGCUGAUUUCUGGACCCAGAAAAAAAAAUAGUAGCUUAAACAAGAUAGGCAUGAAUUCUGUCACAGAAAUAAGUCUAGUUGAGGGAGUAUUAUUAAGAUGGGAUGGUUGUUUUAUGACAUCAUCAGGGAUCUACCGUUUUUAAUAAUUUGAAUAGACUACUGGACGGUAACUCUAGGCUUGUGGGGAAUGGCUGGAAGAAGUAGAUCACUGGGGGCAUGGCCUUGGACUUAUCUUUGGCCUGGCUCCCCCUCUUUCCUUCCCCCCUCUUCCUCUUCUCUCCGCCUCCUUCUCUUUCUUCUCCUUCUUUCUCUCUCCUUUCUGGUUACACUUAGGUGAACAUCUUUCUCUACUAUCCCUUCUCCUUCUGCCAUGGAUUUCUGCUAUAUCUCAGGCCUAGAGAUAUGGAGUCAGCCAACCAUAAUUGGGACUAAUGAAACCAAAAUUACCUCCACUAAAUUUGUUCUUGUCAGGUUUUUGGUUACAGUAAUGAAAAGCUGAGUAACAAAGAUCCUAUGAUUCUAUUAUAUUCAAUUUCAGGAAAUGAUGAAGUAAAGGGAAAAAAAAUGAGCCUAUUCCAUUCUAUUUUAAGAAAUUUAUCCACAAUGCCCAUUAAUGUUUUCAGUUACAUGACAUACUUGUGUGCAGAAAAAAGUUAACCUAGUAGCCCUGAGGAUGCUACCCAACGUCCAUUGCAAGGUUGGCCUUUGGUUGGAAUCUAGGAAUUUGAACUUCAAGAAGAUUCCUACCAUUUCCUAACCAGUAGAAGUGGCUCACCAUUCCUAAAGUUGCUUUUUUUAAAAUAAUAAUAUGGUUUAUACUGAACACUUGUUUACUUUUAGGCUGCUGGAAUUUUGAUAUUUGCUAGAGGGUGCCUAAGUGACCAGGGCCAGUGAAACACUUGGGUGUGGCGUCUCCAAUGAGCUUCACUGGUAGAAGUGAACUAAACACACUGUGUGAUUCUAUUGGGAGGGGACUCCUGAAAGCUUGAGUCCUUUUUCCUCCCAGAAUUUCCCGGUAUACAUUUAUCCUUUUGUUAAUUUUGCUUGUAUCCUUUCACUAUAAUAUGUCAUCAUCAUGAUGACUUUAUAAUGGAUACAUACUUUUUUUAUAGGUAUAGGGAUAUAUUUAGAUGGAUUAACAAACUCAUUAAUGGUUAUAGAUUUUAAAAAAAUCCCACUCUGUAUAUAUUCCAAAAUAAAAACAGAUGAAUAGACUCAACUUUCACUUGAAGAAGUGUCAAAAGAUUAACAUCUCAACUGAAACUCCUUAUAUUGUGGGUUCCUUGUGGAGAGCUGUUUUAUCUAAUUCAUGCUUGUAUUAUCAGAAUUAUGCUACCAGGAAUUCAUCCAAGCAGAAAUUACUUUGAUAAUGAUUUCCAUGUCAGGUUUGGUUAUUUGGACUAGAGAUACCAAGAUCAAGAACAGUCCUUGACAUAAUGAGUUUAUAGCUUAGUAAGGCAAAAUAAUUGUGUUUUAGGACUGAUUUCUAAGAUAUAGACACGGAGAAGAAAGUUCAAGUACUAGUGGAGCAAGAAUUCAGGAGAGGAAAAGAAAGAAGAUGGGUAAGGACAUGAUUUUAAGAGGUUAGCUCCCGUCUGGCACAGCAAAGGAAUCCUGGGCUGCAAAUUAUGGUUCAGAAACUGUCCUAACUGGAGUAAGGGAGCAGGGCUCUCAUAUUCCACAUGGAUCAUUAAUGAGCUAAAAGCCAUUGAGUUGAGGAGUAAUCUCAAUGAUUUCUAAGACUUCAUCUUUGAGUGUAAAGUGACUCCAUGGCCUAAGGACCUUCUUUGAGAAACAAGGAAUCCUUAAGAGUUACAUAUAGAAGGAGCAAAGAGUAUAAGAGAGUCAGAUGAAUACCUGAUACUUGCUCUAAUUAUAAUCAGCUACUAUUGCAAUAUGUUGAGUGCUCCCUUAGAGGGAAUUACCAGUGCUAUGGCAACAAAGAGAGCAAGGCAUGAUAGGUCUUUGUGGGAGAGGAAAAGCUUCCUAAUAAAAUGAUUUAUAGAGUAUCAGAGGGCAUUAACUAGCUACCAAAUAUAGGGGAAAAAAAAGGAGAACUUUCAGGUCCAAGGAACCCAGUGUACAAAAACACAAAGUCACAAGAUCAUAGAAGAACUGGAACUGCUGAGAAGAAAAAUUCCCAACAUUAAAGUCUGUCAUGGUUCUAAUAUCAGGGGAUGAAGUAUAAAAACAUUCUGCAAACUUCUAAAGAAGUAAAAUCCUCUUGCUGUUGUUUGAGUCCCUGUGGUUAAAUUCUGUGUUGUGUUUUAAAACCAAACCCUUUUACCAUGGGUAUACAUUCAGCCAAGCACUUGCUUACUUAUAAGCAGUUGCCCCAAGAUGUACCUUUUUCUUUCACUCUGGUUUGCAUUAGUGCUAGCAGGCCCUGUCCUAAUUCUCCAUAUGCACAAAAGAUAAUGCUGUUAAAGAUAAGCAUUACGUUUAUUUGAUUUCUUUCAUAGUUUAUUUACAAAGGAGGUGAAUCAAUUUCUCAGCUUAACUCCAAAGAAAAUGCCAAAGGAAGCAUUUGUGCAUAUUUAUUAGUUAUAUGUGUUGCUUCUGUAUAAAGAGAUCUAAACCCAGUGUUCUCUACUUUAAGGCCUAUCUAGUGUUGGGAGUACACAGGUCCACACCUCAUCAUUUCCCUGUUUCCAACUCCUCUGCCACUAUGAGUCCCUCUUCAUCACCACCUUUGUUCUGACUGGUGAGAAGACUGACCUUGAGUCCCCCUUGCUAUUCUUCAGACUCCAUUUUUUAUUGUUCCCAGGAACUUCUUAUUUACAAUUAUCAAAUAGUAGCUCUAAUUUAUGGAAAACUUUUAAAACUGUAUAUUAUUAUAAUUAGUGGUAUUGGUGAUGAUGCUAGUAAUUAUGAUCCCUAAUAAUCAUAUUAGAAAAACACUAUACUAGAAAAAAUGUUUUAUUCAUAAAUUAUAGAUACUUUAAUGUUAAAAUUUUAUUGCCUUGUCUGAAAAUUGUGGUUCUUUUGAUAAAAGCACAUUUAGAAGCAAAUGUAACAUGUUGUUAUAAUUUAUUAUAGUCUGAUACUAUUUAUUAAAAAUUUAACUUGUCUGAUCUAGAGUCUUAUGCCAUUCAGAAUUUUAUUUAUUUAUUUUUUGUGUUAAGUGGUUUUAAAAAAACCUAUUUCCUCUCUAAUUUUCCCUGGUAUCAAUGCAGGAGAUAAGAAUAAACUUUAUUUUCAAACAUCAAUGAAUGCUGUUUGUUGAGAGGUACCAAUCACAUGCAUUCUUUUAUACUCUUGCAAGUAGAUACCUGUAACUGGCUUUUCAGGUUUACCUCCCAGUGGUUCUGGAGGCAGAUCAUCCCAAUAAUUAUAGACUAUCCAAUGGAUUAUGUUUAUCUUGUAUUUUACUCUGGCUUCCUUCUACCAGUCGAUCUUCUUUCAAAGCACAAAUAAGGGUGGGAAAAAUUUCAGAUUUGUUUCUAUAGAUGGACCUGAGUAUGUUUGCUUUAACUCCUUGGUAACUGAUAGAAAAUAUCUUCAACUCAUGAAUCUCCAUUCACUAGACGUUAAUUAAAGGAGGAAAUCAGAAGUCUCUCAUCGUGGUUAAGGUGCAAGUCCUGAUUGAAUUUGUAAAAUCUGUGCAUCAUGCUUUUAGAAUUCAAACAAGUUUGUCUGUGAAUUAUGCUCUGGGUUUUUAAUGUUUUCCUAAGAUUAUCUCAGUCAACAUUGAUUUUAUUUAAAGCUAUAUAAAAUCAGUCAUGUUUUAGUAAUAUGAUUUAUCAAAAAUCAAAAUACAUAAUCCUCUUUCAGGAAUUGGAUAGCCCUCAGCUAAGAGUUAGGUUCUGUAGUCUAAGAUGAUCUCCAUUGUUAUUCCUUCAGUUUACUAGAGAAUUAAAUUAAAACAAUAUGUCCUAAAUUUCAAUAUUUUCUCUUUUAGUUAAUGUUAUUUUUAUGGAGAUGACUAUUUAAUGUUUAAUAGGAUAUAAACAUGCAUAUUUAAUAAUUUACAUCUAAAUAUCAGAUAUCUAAAAUUCCCAUUGUGGGACUAGUAAUUAUCUCAAAUGUCUACUCUCCUGUACUUUGAAAGUUGUGGAACCAUCAAAUUACAGCAACAAGAUGCCAUUCAGAGUAAAGAGUAUCUUUCCUAGUCGUACUUGUAACUAAGGAUGGGAAUAUAAAAAUGAUGUAAGCAGAAAUAUUAGGAAUCCCAGAAACUUCUGUGAAAGACAAAUAGCAGUUGCUUUUUGUCCCUUUUCUUUUCUUUUUUUUAAUUGGUUGUUCAAAACAUUACAAAGCUCAUGACAUAUCAUCUUUCAUACAUUUGAUUCAAGUGAGUUAUGAACUCCCAUUUUUACCCCAAAUACAAAGUGCAGAAUCACAUAGGUUAUACAUCCACAUUUUUACAUAAUGCCAUAUUAGUGACAGUUGUAUUCUGCUACGUUUCCUAUCCCCUACUAUGACCCCCUCCCCACCCCUCCCAUCUUCCCUCUCUACCCUAUCUACUGUUGUUCAAUUCUCUCCCUUGUUCCCCCCCUUUCCCCUCACAACCUCUUAUAUGUAUUUUUGUGUAACAAUGAGGGUCUCCUUCCAUUUCCAUACAAUUUCCCUUCUCUCUCCCUUUCCCUCCCACCACUCGUCUCUGUUUAAUGUUAAUCUUUUCCUCAUGCUCUUCCUCCCUGCUCUGUUCUUAGUUGCUCUCCUUAUAUCAAGGAAGACAUUUGGCAUUUGUUUUUUAAGGAUUGGCUAGCUUCACUUAGCAUAAUCUGCUCUAAUGCCAUCCAUUUCCCUGCAAAUUCCAUGAUUUUGUCAUUUUUUAGUGCUGCAUAAUACUCCAUUGUGUAUAAAUGCCACAUUUUUUUUUAUCCAUUCAUCUAUUGAAGGGCAUCUAGGUUGGUUCCACAGUCUAGCUAUUGUGAAUUGUGCCACUAUGAUCAUUGAUGUGGCAGUAUCCCUAUAGUACGCUCUUUUAAGAUCCUCAGGGAAUAGUCCAAGAAGGGCGAUAGCGGGGUCAAAUGGUGGUUCCAUUCCCAGCUUUCCCAGGAAUCUCCAUACAGCUUUCCAAAUUGGCCGCACCAAUUUGCAGUCCCACCAGCAAUGUACAAGUGUACCCUUUUCUCCACAUCCUCGCCAGCACUUAUUGUUGUUUGACUUCAUAAUGGCUGCCAAUCUUACUGGAGUGAGAUGGUAUCUUAGGGCGGUUUUGAUUUGCAUUUCUCUGACUGCUAGAGAUGGUGAGCAUUUUUUCAUGUGCUUGUUGAUUGAUUGUAUGUCCUCCUCUGAGAAGUGUCUGUUCAGGUCCUUGGCCCAUUUGUUGAUUGGGUUAUUUGUUAUCUUAUUGUUUNUUGGGAUUUUGAUUGGCAUUGCAUUAAACCAAUAGAGAACUUUGAGUAAUAUUGCCAUUUUGAUGAUGUUAGUUCUGCCUAUCCAUGAACAGGGUAUAUUUUUCCAUCUUCUAAGAUCUUCUUCUAUUUCUCUCUUUAGGGUUCUGUAGUUUUCAUUGUAUAAAUCUUUCACCUCUUUUGUUAGGUUGAUUCCCAAGUAUUUUUUUUUUUUUUGAGGAUAUUGUGAAUGGAGUGGUUUUCCUCAUUUCCAUUUCAGAAGUUUUGUUGCUGAUAUACAGGAAUGCCUUUGAUUUAUGCGUGUUGAUUUUAUAUCCUGCCACUUUGCUGAAUUCAUUUAUUAGCUCUAGUAGUUUCUUUGUAGACCCUUUUGGGUCUGUUAGAUAUAGUAUCAUAUCAUCCGCAAAUAGUGAUAAUUUAAGUUCUUCUUUUCCUAUUUUUAUGCCUUUAAUUUCUUUUGUCUGUCUAAUUGCUCUGGCUAGUAUUUCAAGAACUAAAUUGAAUAGAAGUGGUGAGAGAGGGCAUCCCUGUCUUGUUCCAGAUUUUAGAGGGAAUGCCUUCAGUUUUUCUCCAUUUAGAAUGAUGCUAGCCUGAGGCUUAGCAUAUAUAGCUUUUACAAUGUUGAGGUAAGUUCCUGUUAUCCCUAGUUUUUCUAGUGUUCUGAACAUAAAGGGAUGCUGUACUUUGUCAAAUGCUUUUUCUGCAUCUAUCGAGAUGAUCAUGUGGUUUUUAUAUUUAAGUCUAUUGAUGUGGUGAAUAACAUUUAUUGAUUUCCGUAUAUUGAACCAGCCUUGCAUCCCAGGGAUGAAUCCUACUUGAUCAUGUUGCACAAUUUUUUUGAUAUGCUUUUGUAUUCGAUUCACCAGGAUUUUAUUGAGGAUUUUUGCAUCUAAGUUCAUUAGAGAUAUUGGUCUGUAGUUUUCUUUCUUUGAAGUGUCUUUGUCUGGUUUCGGGAUCAGGGUGAUGUUGGCCUCAUAGAAUGAAUUUGGAAGAGCUCCUUCUUUUUCUAUUUCUUGAAAUAGCUUGAAAAGUAUUGGUAUUAAUUCUUCUUUGAAGGUUUUGUAAAACUCCGCUGUAUACCCAUCCGGUCCAGGGCUUUUCUUGGUUGGUAGUCUUUUGAUGGCUUCUUCUAUUUCUUCCUUUGUUAUUGGUCUGUUUAAAUUGUGUGUGUCUUCCUGACUCAAUCUGGGCAGAUCAUAUGACUUAAGAAAUUUAUCGAUAUCUUCACUAUCUUCUAUUUUAUUGGAAUAUAGGGUUUCAAAAUACUUUCUAAUUAUCUUCUGUAUUUCUAUAGUGUCCGUUGUGAUGUUGCCUUUUUCAUCCCAUAUGUUAGUAAUUUGAGUUCUCUCUCUUCUUCUCUUCGUUAGCAUGGCUACGGGUCUAUCGAUCUUAUUUAUUUUUUCAAAGAACCAACUUUUAGUUUUAUCAAUUUUUUCAAUGUUUUUUUUUUUUGUUUCAGUUUCAUUGAUUUCAGCUCUUAUUUUAAUUAUUUCUUGUCUUCUACUACUUUUGCUGUUGUUUUGCUCUUCCUUUUCUAGGGUUUUGAGAUGAAGUGUGAGUUCAUUUAUUUGUUGGUUAUUCCUUUUUUUGAGGAAUGAAACCCAGGAAAUGAAUUUCCCUCUUAAAACUGCUUUCAUUGUGUCCCAUAGAUUCUGGUAUGUUGUGUCUGUAUUGUCGUUUAUCUCUAAGAAUUUUUUGAUUUCCUCCUUUAUGUCUUCUGUAACCCAUUGAUCAUUCAGUAACAUAUUGUUCAUUUUCCAGGUGAUGCAGGAUUUUUCCUUCCUUCUUUUAUCAUUGAUUUCCAGUUUCAUUCCAUUAUGAUCAGAUAAGGUGCAUGGUAUUAUCUCCACACCUUUAUAUUUACUCGGAGUUGCCCUAUGGCAUAAUAUAUGGUCUAUCUUUGAGUAAGAUCCAUGUGCUGCUGAGAAGAACGUGUAUCCACUUGAUGAUGGUUGAUAUAUUCUAUAUAUGUCAGUUAAAUCUAGGUUAUUGAUUGUGUAAUUGAGUUCUAGAGUUUCUUUAUUCAGCUUUUGUCUGGAGGAUCUGUCUAAUGGAGAGAGCAGUGUGUUGAAGUCACUCAUAAUUAUUGUGUUGUGGUCUAUUUGACUCUUGAACUUGAGGAGAGUUUGUUUUAUGUACGUUGCAGCACCAUUGUUUGGUGCAUACAUAUUGAUAAUUGUUAUGUCUUGUUGGUGGAUGGUUCCUUUUAACAGUAUGUAGUGUCCUUCUUUAUCCCUUUUGAUUAACUUAGGUUUGAAGUUGAUUUUAUUCGAUAUGAGUAUGGCCACUCCUGCUUGCUUCCGAGGGCCAUGUGAGUGGUAUGAUUUUUCCCAAGCUUUCACCUUCAGCCUGUAUAUGUCUUUUCCUAUCAUAUGAGUCUCCUGAAGGCAGCAUAUUAUUUGAUCUGUUUUUUUAAUCCAGGUUACUAGCCUAUGUCUCUUGAUUGGUGAAUUUAAGCCAUUAACAUUUAACGUUACUAUUGAAAUAUGGUUUGUACUUCCAGUCAUCUUUAUUUAUUUAUUUAUUUAUUUUAGUUUGGCUAGUUUUUCCUCUUUGGCUAUUUUUCUCCCCCUUUACUGAGAUACUUCCCACUAUUUGUUUUGGGUGCUAUUUUUUCAAUUCUUCUUCUUGCAGUAUUUUACUCAAAAUGCCUUGCAGUGCUGGUUUUCUGGCUGCGAAUUCUUUUAACUUUUGUUUAUCAUGAAAUAUUUUAAUUUUAUUGUCGAAUCUGAAGCUUAAUUUUGCUGGAUACAGUAUUCUUGGUUGGAAUCCUUUAUUUUUCAGUGUUUGAAAUACGUUGUUCCAGGAUCUUCUCGCUUUCAACGUCUGUGAUGAAAAAUUAGCCGUUAACUCUAAUUGGUUUACCUCUGAAUGUAAUCUGCCUCCUUUCUCUCGUAGCUUUUAAUAUUCUCUCCUUGUUCCGUAUGUUGGAUAUCUUCAUAAUUAUGUGUCUUGGAGUUGGUCUAUUACGGUUUUGAAUGUUUGGGGUCCUGUAGGCUUCCAGGAUUUGGCAAUCCAUUCCAUCUUUCAUAUCUGGGAAGUUUUCUAGGAUUAUUUCAUUUAAUAGGUUGUCCAUUCCUUUGGUUUGAACCUCUAUACCUUCAUGAAGGCUUGGCUAGAGACCUCUUCCUAGAGUCCCUGCGCCUCAGAGGCUGGUCGCCAGGUCGCGCGGGCCGGAGCCGCCCCUGCCGGUCGCCGGGUCGCGCGGGCUGGGGCCUCCACGCGGGCAGGCGGCAGAUGGUCGCUGGGUCGCGUGGGCGGCUGGCGAAUCUGGACCUCCAGGCUGCAUGGAGGAGAUUUCACUCUUCUGGGGCAAACUGUCACCUUCAAAAAUCUUACUAAUUCCCGGCCGGUCUCUCUUCAGUGGAAUUUUGCUAGAAGUUUCUCAGCAGGUAGAAUCUAAUCAUAUUAAUGCGUCUCUCUGACCCCGUUAUUGUGGAGGUAUUGAAAGCACUGCCUCCCCGCCGGUCGCCAUGUUGGAUCUCCCCUUUUCUUUUCUUCUGCUAGGAUAUGAAAAGUGGAUCUGUGAUUGCUAUUGUGGACCAUGAGUUCAAGCAACAUCCUGUAGAAAGGCUCUCAAUAGAGUGUGCAUACCUGAGUACUCAAUGAAGCAGGACUAAUCCAUCAGUGAGGCUAGCCUGCCUCACUCUCUAAAUCUUUUACAUGGAAUAAUCUAACUUUCCUCUUGUAAAAGUCACCAUAAUAUCUCUAUCUUACUUAUGAUUCAUCAUUAGCAUUAUAUCCCCAAACCCUUCAACUUUCAACUCAAGUACAUUAUUUUACACAAUAUGUGUACGUUAUCUAUAGCACUAAGUUCUGGGGAUUCUCUGUUGAAUCAUCCAUGAAGUCUUGCUGUGGUACUUAACUUUUUUUUGCUUCUCCCAAAGUUAUCCCAUGGCAGCAUAGCUCAGAAGAAUCUCUAAGAGAAGACAUUAAAAUAGAAAUAGGAAAUGGAAGUUUAGGGUAAAGCCCAGAAAAAUUAAACUAAAAUAAAUUUGGUGUAUUACAUUAAUUCAUUUCUUAAUAUAUAAGAUAUUUAAGCUAUAUAUUUAUAUAUUCAUUUCAGUAUAGUUAUAGUUUAAUCACUACUGAUUUUCUACUCAUAAGUUUCUCAAUAGGAAAUUCCCUUUUAAUUUUCUCUUUGAGUAUUGACUAGGUUUCCAUAUAUUAAUAAUCUUUUGUUUAUUUAUUUAUAACUAUACUGAUUUAAUCAAGAUAACAUGGCCUGUACUAUCUCUACUUUAAAAAAAUAAUUAGGGUUUUCUUUAUUGUCAAUGAUGUGAUUAAUUUUUGCAAAUGUUUAAUAGACAUGAGAUAAAAUCCAUUGUUCUAUGAGUGGAAGACUAUAUAUUUCUUAGUUAAAUAUUUUGUUUAUAUUUUUUAGCUCUUCCCUGGCUUUUUUACUUUUUAAUUAAAAAAAAUAUUGUAUUUUCUAUAACUGUCUAACUCUCAAAGAGAUAUACUGGAAUUUCCCACUGCAAUACAUUCAUUUCCCCUUUCUAAUUUUAUUUGCUUUAUUUAUUGUACUGAACACCAAUUAAUAGAAAUAUGGUUUUGUUUUUUAAUUUUAACAUUACAUAAAGCAAUGGUUUUCUUUUUGUGUUAGUCUUGAUAUAUGUAAAGAAUUACUUCUGAUUGACUCAUCUUAUUUUAAUAACUAUUACCAUUCCAUCCAAGCCUUCCUUUCCAAUCUUGAUUUCUAAUCUUUUAUUGUUACCUCAUAUUUUAUACAUAUGUAUGUAUGUAUAUAUGUAUAAUACAUAUAUAAUGAAUUUGGAAUAUAUAUAUGGCAUAUACAAAAUACUAUAUGUAUUUUUUUUAUCUAUAUGCAAUGCAAACUUCAUAAAAUCAUGUUUUAACCUAUUUUGUGAAUGGGAGAGUUGGGAAUCAAACCCAGAUGCUGUACCACUGAGCUGUAUCCACAGCCAUAUUUUAACUUUGUAAUCCAGUCCAAUAUGCUUUUUAAAGGCAAAUUCAAUGUAAUCAUAUCUAGUCUAUGACUGACAUAUGCUAUUCUUAGUUUGUAGUAUCAGUUGUACAGAAUGAUGGCAACAGUACUUCAUAAUGCACUGUAUGUUUCAAAAUUGCUUUAAAGUUAGAUUUCAAAUGUUUCUACCACACACACACACUCACACACACACACAAGUACACACACAAAUAAAAUGGUAUAUGAGGUAAUAGAUUUGUUAAUAAGUUUGACUUUAUCAUUUCACCAUGUAUACAUAUAUCAAAACAACACAUUUUAUUUGAUAAAUAUAUAUUAUUAUUAGUUAUCUAUUAAAUAAAACUAAAAUGAAAAUGUUUUAUUAAAUAAAAAGUGAAAUAAAAACUUUCUAUUUAAAAUUAUAUACUUCCUUUUUCUCUUCGUCAUAAUUUCCACUUUUGCCCCCUUUAUCUCAUUUUUCCUUCCAUUAAUGGAACUAUGCCUUUUUCUAUUAUUUUAAUCAUCAUUUAUGCCUCCAGCUAUUAGUAAAACAGAUACCUACUAUUUUUCCACAGAGACAUAUUCUUCUCCAUCUAACCGUCCCAAUGUUUAAGAUUCUAUAAUGUUACUUCCUCUUCUUCCUUCCCCCUGACAUUAAUUUUAGCUCUCCUUUGUAUUCCACUCCUACCCAAAAUUUUAUGUCCUGUGUUUCAUUACAGAAUUCUACUUCAUUUUAUGAACUUAUUUACAAUAAACCCAAUAUUUUUUCAGGGUAAAAUAAAUUAAAUGCAAGUAGGAUUUCAAAUAAAAUUUUCAAAAAGGAAAACACUUUUACUCUUCUUACUCCCAGCACCAUUCAUAGUGUUUCUAUUAAAUUUUAUGUAUCUCCUUGUGUGAUUGUAAUGAACAUAUUAUCAAUAUGUGUAUAAACAUAUGAUCUUUUAUAUGAGUGAUAAUAUUCUCUUCUGUUAAUUUUUAAAAAUAUAUUUUUAGUUGUUGAUGGACCUUGAUUUUAUUCACUUAUUUAUAUGUGGUGCUUAGAAUCAAAUUCAGUGCCUCACACAUGUGAGGCAAGUGCUCUACCACUGAGCCACAACCUCAGCCCUCUUCUGUUAAUUUUUAACAUAGUGAUACACUUUGUAUUUCAAAUUCUUAAAUGACUAAUUUAGUUCAGUUUUAGGACUCAUCAAUUUUAACCUCCCCUCCAUUAUUUGAUAUUUACAUUGUUUUUCAUGAUAUACUAUUAAACAGGCAGUAUGCUCAUUUUUCUGCAUUCUGUUGCAAAUAUAUAAGAUAAAUUUUAUCAGAAAGCUAGUCUACUUCCAUAACUAUUUUUAUCCUGAAUUUACUUUUGUAUUCUGAAAUUUUUCCAAUCAACUUUAGGAUUACAUUGUAAUAUACAAAGAAGGUAUGAUAUUUUCAUUAAAAUUUAGCUAUUUCUUAGAUGGCAUGUUAGAUAUCUGUUUGCUUAAAGAGCAUUAAGGGGUGGAAAGAUGGUAGACUAGAGGGAAUCAGUGAUUUCGCCUGGGAUUCAAGCAAGGGGGAUACUGCUUCUCAGCAAGUUGGGAGACAAGGGGACUUCAUUAAAACUCAAUACUAGACAGCAAGAGUGCCUUAGAGACUUAGAAAUUUGGGGUAUAUUAAACAAGGAAAAGGGACAAAAAUUAAGCUGAGCUGCUAGUAGGAGCAGCAGAAUUAGCACAAAAGGAAGGAAAAGGUCAAGAAACAGGAAGGACAGUCUUAGUGUGGAAAAUCCUGAGAUCAAAGGAGCAGCCUGCCCGAGGCUGAUCCAGAGGCUGUGGAGCACAUAAGUUGACACAUGAAAGAUGCCACCUAUUUAAAAAUGGUCUGUGGGAAAGUGGAGGCAGAAGCCAUCAUGAGCUAACAACACUGUGCCAUCUAGCAGAUACAGGAACCAAAACUCGGACCUGGGAAAAAGGGCUGGCUCCCAUAUACAGGGUAGGCAGAUACCACCCAUGUGACCUAGACUGAGCUUGCCAAAAUAUGGAGAAAAUUGGGCAUGGAUAAUAUUUUGCUUACAAGUUGGGGAGCCUGCAGAGAAUCUGGCUUUCUCACCCUUUUGCUUCUAGGGGAUUAAUAGGACCAGCUGCAGCAGGUUGGGUGUCUGAAUAGGGGCGGGAGAGGGGAGGGGUAUAUCUGCACUCAGAAACCAACCCCAACCCAGAGCCUCCUGGAAACUGAACAGGUGGAUGUGACUAUGCUUGGGGGUGGACCACAGGAGGCCAAGAAGGGUGGUAUCCAUGAGCGGUAGAAGAAGUGAGGGACUAGCUGCCGCAUCUCAUGAGUGGAUCCCUGGAGAGACUCUCGGGAGAUCCCUGGUACAGUGUCCUAGCUUAGAUUGAUAACUGAGGGGCUUUGAGGUAUAUUGAUUUAAUAUCUUCAGAUAACUAGCCACUCAAAUAAAUCACGUGAGGCCUCAUUAAACCUAAGCCCUGCCCCCAAGACUGCCACCUACAGGAACUUAUCUCACAGAACCAAGCUGCAGCUUCACCCUGGUGUGGAGCUGACACUAUUUCCUAUCCCAACUUCAUCUUAUCACCAAGAAGGGAAGCAGAGAAAUUUUUGAACUCCAGCUGGCAUCUUGGUGAGCAACCAAAAAAAAAAAAAAAAGAAAAGAAAGAAAAGAAAAGUUUGACAGCUCGUGGCCUCUACUCUUGUAGCCAGUACAUAUCUCAAGAAGAAACGGAAGGAAAGAGUUGGACACGGCAAACACAUAUUCUCAUUAGCUAUUUUUAUCCAUUGCAGUGAAAAUGACUCCUGAAUUUCAAGAUUAUUUUUCUCUGUGUGUGCUGAAAGAUUCACAGGCAUAUAUAUAUUUAUACAUAUUUGUUUCUGUUUUCUCAUUUCCUCCAUUUUUUCAAGGUAGUUAUUUUUCCUUUCUUUUGAGAGGUAGUGUUUUUGAUUAUUAUAUUUUGGCUUUGUUUUGUUUCUUCACUGUCCUGUUCCACUUUUUACCCUCCCCCCCCCUUUUUUUCCUAACAACAAAUUCUAUUGUUCUCUCUUUCACUCUUCUUUUAAUUCAUUAUUUCUAUCUUUUCUCCUCCCCCCCAUAACUGUCACAUCAUAUACAGCUUUUGCAUGACCCACAUUCACCUAUCAAAAUUGCAAAUCCCUUUCUGCCCACCUAUCUCUUCUUUUUUCCUCUGUAUUCUUUACAUCUCUUAGCACUAAUUGGUCUGUACAAUGCCAGCCUCUAUCACUAAUGCUGUAGCAGUAAUACUGUGGAAGUCAAAUAUCCCACCUAUUAUCUGAUUUUAUGCCAGACAUAAUAUUGAUCCUUUACUGUUCUUACUGAUGGAAAUUGCUAGUCCUACCAAUUCUGUUAAUUAUCCUAAUUAGCUCUGUAGAUGUCAUAAUGGGAACAAGAACUUUAUUGUUAUACAGGUUGUUACUACUAUUUGGUUCCAAUUAACAUUAUAAAUGCCAUAAUAGGAACCAAGAACUUAGUUUAUUGUUAGAUAGGUUAUUACUAUUAUUUGGUUCCCCCUAGUCUGUGAAAAGGGACACUAGAAGUUAAUGGGGUAGAAACUCUGCUGCUUCUGAUGUAUUUGGAUAGGUGAAUAGACACACAAAUAAUAUGAAAAAGCAAUGAAACAAUCCACCCCAAACAACACAGAAUGCCUCAACAAUAGACUGCAUUGAUACCACAGUAGAGGACAUGCCAGAAAACUAAUUUAGAAAGUGCAUGCUAAACUUAUGUAUGAGGUACAAGAUGAUGCAAGGAGUGAUAUCAGAGAGAGAAUAUAAGAAGUGGAAGAUCACUUUAAUAAGGGAGUAGAGAUCCUGAAGUAGAAUUAAUCAGAAAUCCUCAAAAUGAAGGAAUAAAUAAACCAAAUUAGAAAUUUAAUGGAAAACAUUACCCAAAGAAUACACCACUUGGAAAGAGUUUCAGGCAAUGAAGACAAAGUAUAUGAUAUUGAAAAUCAAGUUGAUCAUGGAGAAAAUAAGAAACUAUAAUCAGAAUUUUAAAGACAUAAUGCGUAACAUUAAAAGGCCAAAUCUGAUUCAUAGGGAUAGAUGAAAGCUAUGAAGUACAAAUUAAAGAAUUAAAUAAUAUCAAUGAAUAUUAUAAUAUUUUCAAUGAAAUAAUGUCAGAAUUUCCCAAACCUUAAGAAUGAAAUGGAAAAUUAAAUAUAGGAGGCAUAAGUACUUCAAAUUCACAAAAUUACAGCAAACCCACUCCCAAGUCACAUUAUUAUGAAAAUACUUCACAUAGAAUGAUAGAAUUUUAAAUGCUGCUAGAAGAAAAUGACUAGUCACAUUUAGUGGUAAACCAUUCCAGCCCUCAGCUGAUUUUCAACCUAGAACCUUACAACUAGGAAGGAGGUCUUGGAAUAGUAUAUAUUAAGCUCUGAAAGAAAAUGCAUGCCAACCAAGAAUACUGUAUCCAGUAAAAUUAAGCUUCAGAAUUGAAGAUGAAGUAAAAAACUUGCAUGAUAAACAAAACUUACAAUGAGUUAACAACUAGAAAGCUUGCACUUCCAAACAUAUUCAAUAAAAUAUUUCAUAAAGAAGAAUUGGAGAAUAAAAUGAAAACCCGCAGAGAACAGAGGGAGAACUUCAUUAGAAGAAUAGUCAAGCAAAACAAAUCUAAUUCAACUUAAAAACUAGAAAUAAAAUAAUAGGAAAUAAAUAUCUCUUAAUAAUAACACUGGAUGUAAUUGGACUAAAUUUGUCAAUCAAAAGACAUAGGCUAGCAGAUUUAAUUUAAUCCAUUAAAAAACAAGACCCCAAAAUAUGCUGUCUCCAAGAGACUCAUCUCAUGGGCAAAGAUAUCCACAGACUGAAUAUGAAAGGAUAUGAAAAUAUUCUUCACAUGGAUUCAUAACAAGGGGUUUCUGUUCUAAUUAUCAGAUAAUGAUGACUUCAAGCCAAAGGUAAUUAGAAGAAACAAAAAAGAUUACUUUGUACUGCUUAAGGGAAGCAUAAAACACCAAAAAAUAACAAUUGUAAAUAUUUAUGCCCCCCAAAAUGGAGCAUCUACAUAUAUCAACUAAACUUUUCUCAAUAUAAAGAAUCAAUAGACCACAACACAAUAAAACUGGAUGACUUUAACAUGGCUGACUUAACAGUAGAUAGAUCUUCUAAACAAAAACUUUAUAAAGAAGCUACAGAACUAAAAAAUACAAUAAAUAAUUUAGACUUAACAGACUGAUAUAGAAUAUUUCAUCCACCAAUGACUGAAUACACUUUCUUCUCAGCAGUACAUGGAACAAUUUCUAAAAUAGACCACAUAUCCAGCCACAAAAUAACACUUAACAAAUACAAAAAGAGAGCUAAUACCCUGUACUCUAUCAGAUCAAAAUGGAAUGAAAUUAGAAAUCUAUGGUAAGAUAAAAAAUAGAUACUACUUUAACAAGUAGAAACUAAUUCACUAUUGAAUGAUAAAUGAAUAUCAGAAUAAAUCAUGGACAAAAUAAAAAAAAUACUUAGAAGCAAAUGAGAAUAUGGAUACAACAUAUCAAAAUCUUUGGGACACUAUGAAGAUGAUUCUAAGAGGAAAGUUCAUAGCAUUGAUCUCAUACAUUAAAAGAAUAGAAAGAUAUCAAAUAAAUAAUCUAGUGUUAUACCUCAAGUCCAAAGGGGAAAAAACAGAAUCAAAACUGAAAUCAAUAGAAGAUAGAAAAUAAUUAAAAUCAGAGCUGAAAUCAAUGAAAUUGAGAUUUUAAAAAAUGCUAAAAAUUAACAAAUCAGACUGUUGGUUCUUUAAAAGAAUUAACAAAAAUUGAUAAUCCCUUAGCUAAGCUAACCAAAAGAAAGGGAGAAAACUCCAAUUGUUAAAAUUCAUAAUGAAAAAUGAAACACCACCAUAAACACUACUGAAAUACAGAGUAUAAUUAGAAACUAUUUAAAAAUAUAUACCUGAAUGAGAUAGAAAAUCAUGAAGACAUUGAGAAAUUCCUAGAAACAUAGGACCUAACCAAAUUGAACCAGAAUACAGAAAUUUUAAAUAGAGCAAUUUCAAGUAAAGAAAUUGAGGUAGCCAUCAAAAGCCUACCAAGAAAGAAAAGCCCAAGACUAGAUAGAUUCUCAGCAGAGUUCUACUAGACCUUUAAAGAAGAACUAAUACCAUUCUUCCUCAAAUUAUUUCAUGAAAUAGGAAAUGAGGGAACUCUUCCAAACACUUUCGAUGAAGCUAGUAUCACCCUAAUAUCAAAACCAGAAAAAGACACACCAAAGAAAGAAAAUAUCAGACCAAUAUCUUUGAUGAACACAGAUGCAAUAAUUCUUAGUAAAAGACUGCUAAAUCGCAUACAACAACACAUGAAAAAGUGCAUCAUGAUCAAAUAGGUUUCAUCCUAGGAAUGCAAGAUUGGUUCAACAUAAGGAAAUCAAUAAAUGUAAUUCAGCACAUCAAUAAACUUAAAGACAAUAAUCACAACAUAAUCUCAAUAGAUGAAAAAAAUUGACAGAAUACAACAUCCAUUCAUGCUUAAAACACUAGAAAAAAUAGGGAUAGAAGGAACAUACCUAAACAUGGCAAAAGCUAUAUAUGACACACCCAAGGCCAACAUCCUUCUAAAUGGGGAAAAACUUAAAGCAUUCCCUCUAAAAAAACGAAGAAGACAGGGAUGUCCACUUUUACCAUUUCUAUUCAAGAGAGUCCUUGAAACUUUGGCCAGAGCAAUUAGGCAGAAGUAAGAAAGUAAAGGGAUAUAAAUAGUAAAUGAAAAACUAAAACAUCUAUUUGCCAAUGACAUGAUUCUAUAUAUAGAAGACCCAAAGAAUUCGACCAGAAAACUAGAACUCAUAAAUGAAUUCAGUAAAGUAGCAGAAUACAAAAUUAACACCCAGAAAUCAAUUAUGUUUUAUAUUUAGUGUCAAAUCAACAGAAGAGAAAUUGGAAAAUCCAUCACAUACAUGAUAGCCUAAACAAAACAAAGCAAAACACAAACUUGAGAAUCAAUCUACCAAAAUAGGAAUACAACCUGUACAAUGAAAACUACAAAACACUAAAGAAAGAAAUUGAGGAAGACCUUAGAAGAUCUAUAAACCUUCCAUGUUCUUGGUUAGGCAGAAUCAAUUUUGUUAUAAUGGCCACACAACCAAAAGCAUUGUGCAGCGUCAAUAAAAUUCCCAUCAAAAUUCCAAUUACAUUCUUCAAAAAAAAAAGAAAUAGAAGUCACGAAUUCAUCUGGAAAAUUAGAAACCCUGAAUAGCCAAAAUAAUCCUUAGCAAGAAAAGUGAAGCAGGAGGCAUCACAAUUUCAGACCUUAAAUUAUACUACUACUAGAGUAACAGAAACAGCAUGGUAUUGGCACUAAAACAGAUAAGAAGAACAGAAUAGAAUACAUAAAGACAAAUUUGCAAAAAAACACAGCUGUAUCAUACUAAAUAGAAGCACCAAAACAUACAUUGGAGAAAAAAUAGCCUCUUAAACAAAUGGUGCUGGGAAAACUGGAAAUCCAUAUGUAGUAAAAUGAAAUUUAGUCCUCAUUUUUCACCCUGCACAAAACUCAAUCCAGAGCAUCAAAAACCUAGGAAUUAGACCCAUAAACUGUACAUACUAGAAGAAAAUGUAGGCCCAACUGACUUCCCUAGCAAGAAGUAAAACCAAUAAUCAAUAAAUGGGAUGGAAUCAAACUAAAAAGCUUCUUCACAGCAAAGGAAACAAUCAAGAAUGUGAAGACAAGAGAAAAUCUUUGCCAUCUACACCUCAGAUGGGGUGUUAAUUUCCAGGAUAUACAAAGUAUUCAAAAAAUUUAACACCAAGAAACCACAAAUAAUCAAAUUAAUAAAUGGGCAAAGGCACUGAACAGACACUUCUCAGAAGAAGAAAUAGAAGUUGUCAACAUAUAUAUGAAAAAAUGUUCAACAUCUCUAGCAAUUAGAGAAAUGCAAAUUAAAACUACACUGGAAUUUCAUCUCACUCCAGUCAGAAUGGCAAUUAUCAAGAAAACAAGUAACAAAAAAAUGUUGCUGAGGAUGUGAGGAAAAAGGUACACUUUCAAUUGCUGCUGGGAUUGAAAAUUGGUGCAAUCAUUAUGGAAAGCAGUAUGGAGACUCCUUAGAAAACUUGGAAUAGAACAACCAUUGACACAGUUAUACCACUCCUUGGUUUAUGCCCAAAGGAUUUAAAAUCAACAUACUUUAGUGACAUAGCCACAUCAAUGUUUAUAGCAGCUCAAUUUACAAUGGCUAAGCUAUGGAGCCAACCUAGGUGUCCUUCAACAGAUAAAUGGAUAAAGAAAAUGUGGUAUAUAUACACACAUUAUUUUAAGGUUGAGAAUUAGUGGAUAGAAUUCUCUUGUCAAACACAUAUGAUGAAACUUGGAGAAUGAAAGUAAUAUGAGUCUUUAAAACUGAAAUCUUACAGUGCCCCCAAUGUAUCUCUUUUCAAAGGAUGUACAUUAAAAUGUGAUCUAAUGACACUUAAAAAGUCUUUUAAAUGUUUUCCAUACUGUUAAACUAUAAUUAUGAAUAUAAACAGGUUAAAUGUGAUAUAUAUAUAUAUAUAUAUUCUCAGUGAUAUAUAUAUAUGUGAUAUAUAUAUAUAUAUAUAUAUAUAUAUAUAUAUAUAUAUAUUCUCAGUCAUUAAGAAGCAUAUCUUUCUGACAUUUUCUGGUAAAUGGAUGAGACUGGAGAAUAUCAUGCUAAGUUAAAUAAGGCAACCUCCCAAAAGCUAAAGGUAGAAUGUUUUCACUGACAUGUGGAAGCUAAACCUCAAUAAGAGGGAGAAGGUAAGAAUAGAUAGUCAGUAGAUUAGACAAAUGGAAGGAAGGGAAGGGGGUGGAAAGGAAAAGGAAAGACAGUGGAAUGAAUCUGAAAUAAUUUUCCUAUGUACAUAUAUGAAUACACCAUGGUGAAUCCCAACAUCAUGUGCAUCCAUAAAAAUGGGAUCCUAAUUAGAAUAAGAUAUAGUCCAUGCUUAUAUAAUUUUAUCAAAAUAAUUUCUACUAUUAUGUUAAAUAGAACCAAGAAAAUAGUUAAAUAAAAAUCAUUAAAUUCUCUUAUAGGAAAAACAAAAAUGUCACUUAUUUAAAUAUUUUUUAUUUGUUAACUUGUGGAAUUUGAAAUUAAAUCAGAAUAAAACCUGAAAUUUCCCAGUGGAAAUAUUGCUAAAAUCAAAACAUUAUUCUUGCUAGGCCUUUUCUUUUUAGGAGCCUAUAAAUAAUAACUUUAUAAACUGACUGGUUAGGAAUCAUGACAUUUUUUUGUACAUCCCAUGCACAAAUAAAUGUUGAGGUAAAUGUCUGAUAUUUCUCACUUUUAAUCAAUCUCUUGAUAAAAAUUACAAUUCAUUCACAAAUGAAAACCUGGUUACAUUUGUAAUUAUACUUUAAUGAUAUGGAAAAUUUUUAAAAGACUUUUUCAUUGUCAUUCAUCACAUAUUUUAAUGCACAUUCUGUGAAAAGAGAUAUAAUGGUGGCACUGUAAGAUUUCAAUUGUAAAGACUCAAAUAUUACUUUCAUUCUUCGUGUUUCAUCACAUUUGUUUGACCAGAGGAUUCUAUAUACUAUUUCUCAACCUUAAAAUAAAAACAAGUAAAAUUAUGUUAUUCAGCAGGGACAAAAUGUAAAUCAUUUUUACUUUCUAUUUUGUAUCAACUUACAUACAACAUCAGCAUGCAGCUUCACCUCCCCACCCAGUUUUAUAAACUAAAAUACACAAGAUUUAAGUUGAAUGCCAGUCAUUAUUGCUAGUAAAAAAUGAAGUCUUUUGCACACAGUUGUGUUCAAAAGAAUGGUAUUAUUAUAAUGAAUUUUCUUAGAUAUUUGAAGUAUUUGGGUAGUUCAAUAGAAAUGUGCUCCUUGAAAAAAUUUACAUAUUUUAUGAAAAAUAUUUUUUUAUGUAAAGUGAAUUCUAGUUAUCAAAAUAGAGAAAUUAUUUGCAUGCUUGUUAAAGCAUAGCCAUUAAUGAAAAAAAUCUCUUUUAACAGCUAGGUAUAUAAAAUUACACAUAAUCUAAAUAAACCAUUAUGAUAACAUGCCUGGGCUUUCCAAAUCAAAUGGGAAAUUUGAAAUAAAAUAAUGAAGCAUAUCCAAAAAAACAUGAGAGUCUUCCCAGACCAAUUAAGUAAAAAGUGUCUAACAAAGUUUGAAAAAUAUGAAAGAAAUUUUGAAAUGUUCAACAAAAAAAGAAGGAAAUUCACAUUUCUAAUAUGCUACUGAUAUUUAACUCCCUUUAUAUUAUAAUUUAAGUUUCUCUACACAUUGAUUAGACUUUUGAUCUUAAUUAUAAGAAUUGUAUAAUAGUAAGUGUACACUUAAAAUUUUAUAAUUUAAUUGUGCAUAUAGAUUUAAGAAAGCUUUCUCAUUAAUUAGGUAGGAAAAGUAGUAUGGUAGCUCUGAAAACAAACUUCUCAAAUGAGUAAUUGCUAUCUGAUUUUCUGUGGGAAAACCAACCUAAAGUAACAAUCUUUGUUGAUGCUUGCUCAGAUCAGGUGGACCAAAACAGCAGGAAGUGCCUCUGACAGAUUCCAAGACUCCAGUGUCUUCAAUGAAACUUUGAGGAUUACAAAUAUUCAGCGACACCAAGGAGGCCGAUAUUACUGUAAAGCAGAGAAUGGUUUGGGGUCCCCAGCCAUAAAGUCAAUCAGAGUGGAUGUAUACUGUAAGUACAUUUCCCAGAAAACUGUAAGCCCAACACAGA